Molecule: long non-coding RNA, 63240 nt
Filed under: Eucalyptus grandis
Lineage: Eukaryota; Viridiplantae; Streptophyta; Magnoliopsida; Myrtales; Myrtaceae
Description: long non-coding RNA (EGRA_LNC004807)
Source: RNAcentral
CUGGCUUGGAUUCCGUGGGCAUCGUCGGCGGCGAAGGUUGAGAAUAGCGAUUCCAAACUCGUGUCAGGCGUCAGUCGACUCCACCGAGGUCAGGGACGGCGACGACGAAUGGCAGCGGGCGGAGGAUGCUCUGGAGGUGGCGGACGACGUAGAUCGGCUGUGGCUCUGAGGUUUUGUGUGGGGCUUCAAUGGCAACCGUUCACGGAGUAGAGAAAGACCAAGAUGCUUCUUUUUUUUCCCCCCUUUUUCGUGAGAAGUAAAGAAGUAGGUGACAGUGAAGGAGUGAGGUAGGAAUCCGGGAAUGUGAUGCGAGAGCAGUCGCCGGCGGGAGGUAGGUACUCGGACAGAGAUGGUGGAGGUGGCUGGUCAGGUGAGUUCAGGAGAAAGGGUGAGGAAUGCUUUUUUCUUACUUUUCCAGAAAAUGCUCCCUGAAGAUGGUGGUCUCCUCCUCCUCCCUUUUCGAGAACGCCCUGCUUUUUUUUCCUUUUGAUGGGAAAUUGUGUCUUUUAAGAGAGAGCGUGAGAGAUCCCUAGAAAGAACUUCCCUUUCAGAUUCGAAGAAUCGGCUACUAGCGGAGAUGAAUGUCGAUGUGCUUCCGCAGAAUGCUUACCGUCUGGUUGGGUCACAGCUUUAUCUCUCCUGUGGAUAUCACUGUGUUCUUUUUGACCCUGACUUUCUCGAAUCACGCGACAGUGCUAAUCAAAGAAAGUCAUAGAAAAGAAAGUAAAGGUGAAUUAUUGCACGCGUAAUUUCCUCGGAAGGUGCGUAAUAUUUACGCGUAUCCUUUCUUUAUUUUCUUCCUCUGUUGGCUUGACUUGCUUUUUCUACUAAUAAAGAAAUAGAAACAAAAACCAACGAAUCAUUUCUAAGGCAUCCAGGAUGUUUUACCUGGCGGCCUCUUCGUGGGAAUCUGGCCUGGGGAAAAUUUCCCUAUUGGGUUAAUAGUAAAUCCCAGCGGUUUAUCAUUACCUCAUUUUAUGUUUGAAAUUGAGUUCGAUAAACGUAAUAGUUUAAGAUCUUGCUAAGAACUUAUCCACCAAGUAAUUUAAUAAAAAACAACAUUUUGCAUAAGGGGCAUGGAACCAUCCUGUAUAGUGCUUCUUGACUUGUCUUGCCUUUUUCAUAAAUUAAAGAAGUAAAGAAAGCUAACUAUACUCCCAUGCCCUCGGGUUUAAUCUACAUGAGUCAAUCACAAAAAUAUCGCCUCUUGGAAUAUUAUUUAUAAUGAACAACCUAACUUCAAAUUUCAAAAUAAAUUUCCCUCACUUCUCGUACUAAAUUUUUCCAUAUUAUAUCUUGCCUAAAGAUUAUUGAGUCAUCACCCCCUCACCCUAAUCACUUUGAUCUCACUCCUUAAUUUUUUUUUCAACAUUUUAUAUUUUUAAUGUCACAUUUAGAAUUUCUUAGCUAACCGAGGCCUACAAGGGGCAGCCUCUAGUGAUGGUCAAGCAAGGUUCCCUUCGCCAAACAAAUAUCGUUGAUGUCCACCAUGGGAUUUUCAAACUCGAUUACAUGCAUGCAAAUUGCUUUCAGUCAUCAUUUUUUUUUUUUGCUUCUUUCUUUUUUCUCGAUUUCUUUUAGCUUGAGAAAUUCCUCAACUUACAAUUAUUAUUCGAUUUUAUGAGCUUAAUGACUUGUUUGUACUCUCGUCUGUCAUCUUUUUUGCUUCUCCCAUUGUCUUAUGAAAUGGAUUUAACUUUGAUCCCCCCUAAUUAACUCCCCCAGGAAGAAAAGCCUUGAGACUUCGAGAAUAGAAGUCCACUUAGAAGUCCACUGGCGCCACGCAAUUGCCGCUGGGAAUCACACAGAGAAAAGGUUGAAAGUUAAAGACCCUUUUCUCUUUCAUGCACGCAAGAAAUGUCAGACGAGAAAAAACGUGAGCGGCCGUAGUCAAAGCCAAGAAGGCGAAGGAGGUUGUCGUUUUCGUGGGGUGUUAUUGCGUGGGGGUUGGUCGGUGGUAGCUUCAAUCGGCAUGUUAAAGACGACUGGAGAGAGACUGGUCAAAUCCCCGGUCAGAACUUUCAUUUUCUUUUCUCUUCUUGAAAGGAGCCCAUCACGGAUUAAUAUUACAUACGCCUUUAUUACACUGCUUGUUAAUGCGAUAGGCGAGAGAGCGAUAGAAGUAAAUGUUUGUCGAGCGACUUCUUACAGCCAUCUUUCAUCAUUCUCAUCUCUCUUUUCAUCAUCUCUCUCGUGGGAUGGUGAACAUAUAGAUUUGUGCGCUCUUCCUAGUUCCCACACAUCUCCUGUCUUCUCGACCAGUCUAGUGCAUACAUCACUUCUCAACACAUCUCUUCUUGACCCCUAUGUAGCUGGUGCCCGCCUCUCCCAAGGUUUGAAGCUUUCUGGAUGACGUGGAAGAUUGGAAUAGAAAUGGAUAUAGACUAACAAUCACAUGAGUAUUGCAAUUUCUUUCUGAAAAUCAUUUCUUUUUUUAAUCUUUUUAUCGUCUUCAGAGGAAUGAACACCAACAGUUUUAAGAUAUGCUAAAGGCAGCCCGAAAUGAUCUCGACGAGAUGAUAGUUUUAAUUAAGUUGCAUGGGGUUUUGGUUGCCGAAUACAUUAGAUGAAGAAGAGAUAUUCUCAUUGUUAAUGCUGACAAGCUUUAAUGAUAGCGGGAACCUCGACCGCGAUGAAAUCGGCAACGUUGGCUGCCAGAAGGGGCUGGACUCCUCGCUCGUGGAGGCCAACUAAGCUUCUGCUUCCCAGCCUACUCAUAUUUCUUUUGGUCAUAUCGGCCUAGUUAGGCAAAGGCAUAUUUAUCUUUUAAGAAAAGAGAUCAGUCUAUGUUAGUUUCUAUUCCAAUCCUUCAACGCCAUGCGGAAGGCUUUGAACCUUUGGCAGAGUUGGGCAGCCCGCUCCAUUGAUGGAUGAGAAGAGAUGUGUUGAGAAAAGAAGUAUGCACCAAUGUGUCAAGACCUUGUUUAUCCAGUUAAAAAGCUAUCAAUCUACGCAGUUUGCUAAAUCCGAAUUACCUGAUCAGACGUUUCUUCACUCACAUUUCAUUUUAAAUUGUAAUAUUUUUUUUCCCAUCUAGUAUUCGUUACUAAGGCAAUUUUCUUUUUCUUUCGGGAGAGGGGAGGGGGGUGGAGCUCCUUUUCUGCGUGAACAAGUUCUGCAAGAACAAGACUCAGUUGUUCAUCAAAUUUACGAAAUUAUCGCACAAGUUAUGCUCUUCAGUUAAGUAUACCGCCAUUAUUCCAUUAUUUCUGUUUACUGGGCCAAGAUCUUUACGAAUCGAAGCGAGGGAUGAACAAAUUGCUCACCCUUCUGGGGAAGGUUUUCUCUCAGUUUCCUACUUUGGCUUCUCUUGGCCUUCUAUAGCUUCUCCUUUAACUGUCUUCAAUGCCGCAUAUGAAAAUCUCAGCCUCAGCCUCAGCCUCAGCCUCAGUGGCUCUAAUAAGAUUCACUCCUUUAUGUUUGGAUUCUGAUAGAACAUAUUCUGUGAAUGCAGGCACCCACCAUCGCAGCUGCUGCAAACUUGAGAAUGGCAAGAAGGUCUCCAGUUCUCCCAUCUACCAGAUGGCAUCUAGUAAUCUUUCUCAUGCAGAGAAAUUUUCUACACUUGCUGGAUCCGUUGCAAGUGUUUUCCAUGUCUUAUGCUUUUGUCUAAUUAAUGUUUCUUAUCGGAGGUGAAGAUAGAAGAAGGGAAAAUUAUUGAUCGGAGGGACGAACCCCAACCCUCGGUUGGUAGGGGUGCUAGACAUCCUCUUCAUAUUGCAUGCUGAACAUGAAAUGAAUUGCUCAACGGUGCUGCUAGGCAUCUUGCAUUGAGGAAUUCCGCUUUCAAUGCCGUAGGUGACAAGUCCUACAAGCUAAGCGCCGACGCAUUUGCUGACGUAACCAACGACGAGUUUAAGGACCGCUAGGACUGGUAGAAAUGCUUUGUUCAGGUACGAGAAUGCAAAUGCGGUGCCCGCGGCCCUGGAAUGGAGGAAGAAAGGAGCUGUCAUGGGCAUCAAGGACCGAGAAAGUCGUUGUAAGGAAAAUAAAAUUGAUGGUUUAAUCCUACGGAUAUUCACGUUUACGUGUGUAAUCAAUGCAUAUUGCUUUUAUGUUCUAGGUCCAACACACAUGAUCGAAUGAUCGUAGCUACGUGUAGUUAGUACAUUCCGAAUUUUCCAAUAGCAUUCAUACUCUGUUUAUUUCGCGAAAUAUAGAAAAGUAUUUUAAAAAAAAUUAUCUCUUGAAAUAAUGAGUUAAUGGAAAUUCAUCAUGCACAAUAAUUAAUGUCUAAAUAUUUUCAUGAACGGUAAAAAUUUUAUUUCCUAUUUAUUUAUAUAAGUGUUAUAAACGAUCAUUUUUAAUAUAUCAUUUAUUUCCCCUAAAAAAAUGAGUCUCGGAUUAGUUGACUUUUAUGGCAUGUGUGAUUAUGCUGCCUCUCAAUUAAUCAAAUAGGAACCUGUUGGCCUUUCUCAACCGUGGCAGCCACCGAGGGCAUCCGCCAGCUACAAAGAGGGCAAGCUAACCUCCCUAUCGGAGCAAGAACUCGUAGAUUACGAUGUUAACGGCGAGGACCAAGGUUGCGAAGGUGGUCUCACGCGAUAUGGUUUUUAAUUUAUCAUAAACAGUGGAGGCCUCACUAUCGAGGCUAAUUAUUCCUACGACGGGAUAGACGGAACUUGCAAGACCGCAAAAGAAGCCUCCCACAUGGCUGAAAACCGCGGGGCACAACCCCAUGCCUGCCAACAACGAGGCCACGCUGUUGAAGCCCGUGGCAAAUCAUCCGGUGUUGGUUUCCAUUGACGUCGGAGGGAUAGUAAGUAAAAUCUGUCAAGGCCCAAGCUGGUGAUGUGUUUUAUGGGUCAAGCCAUGUUGUGUUAUUCGGGUCGAGGCCCAUACCUCUGUUUUGUGUUUUUGUAGCCCGAGGUCACCGUCUUUUGUGGUUCAAUUCAAAGAAAAAGACUAGGGUUGGAGGGGAUUUUGGAGAUUUAAGUUGAGUUACCUCGAAACAAAAGAAUACCUAAAUUAAAAGGGAACUGACCUGAUAUUGAACUCAAGCGUGAAAGGAACGAAAAUGCCAUUAAGAAUCUUAAAAGAAAGUAGGCCAAGCAACUUGACAAGCAAAUGUCUUUCAGCCUGGGCUGCACAAGUUGAUGGUUUUCCUUCGGUUCAACUUCACGACCAAUCUACACGUCUAUGACAAUCUACAGAGAUUAGUGUCUUAUGACCUAAAAGACCUUUUCUUCAACAGGGGUUUAGUGCAAUCAGCCUGUGAUUUAGUCCAAUGUGGCUGGGACCCGUAUGAGGCAAAUACUAUACAAAUUGUUUAACAUGAGUAAAACUGGCCCCGUACUGCAAACUUUGGCAUCAUCAUAAGGGAAUUCGAGAAUACUCAAUUCAUUUAAACAAAGAAUAAACCUCGACUUACCAAUUAUCUCAGAUUUUAGAUAAAUAAAUAUAAUGUUUAUUAAUAAUUGUCGUUUUGUGCUAAUUCUCGUAGAGGGACUACAAGAGCCAUCUUUGGCAGUCUUGAAACAACCAUCCACCUAAUUUAAGCCCGGUAUGCUGCGGCUUACCCUAUAUGAAGGGGAAGAAGGGAUGCGUCCUCUGAGAAUUUUUGCCGCCGACAUUUUCUCUCGAUGAACUUGUGCCAUGUCAAUAGCAUGAUAAGGUAGCCUGCAUUUCACAGCGAUUUUUACUUGGUUUCAAAUGAUGCAAGCAUGCAACGACUCGAAAGUUCAACUAGAAAUGAAGGCAAAAGAUGAACGGAAAAGGAAGGCAUGGUGAGUAAAAUCUACUGGUCAGCAGACCUCAUAGUUGCUCCCUCAAUUAAGUUGUGAUCAAUUCGACAGCAAGAGUUGCAAUCUGACACUGGCAUAGUUUUUGGUGCCAUAGAACUCAGGGCCGCGGGAGUCAUGGUUCCGACGCCUUCUAGGAGCGUGAGCUUAUAAUUUUCCUUUCAUAGUGUUUGACUAUUGGUGACUCUAGCCAUCUGACCAUCUUGCUGUACAAGCUGAUCAUCUUGAUCCAGAUCUGUUUGACUUGGACCAUCUUCCUAUGUAAGUGUAUUCUCUUCCUCUGAGUCUGUUUGAUCAUCUUCCUUUGAGUUUGUGCUAGUUCAAGACAAUCCUGAUAAACCAAAUUUAACACCAGUGACUGAUUGUCAUGAAGCAAAGACCCUUGGAUCAUUCUCUUGUUGCUUGCAUACUAGUCCAAACCCGCAGUUUCUUAGGGUGCGUUUGGCUGCACCCUGUUUCUAUUCCCAGGAACAGAAAUUUCUGUUUUGUUGUUCUUGGGAACAAAAAAGGAACAGAAACGCGUUUAGGUGCGUUUCUGUUCCUUUUUUGUUCUUUUGUUCCCAGGAACAAAAAAGAAACAGAAACAAGAAACACAAAAUUUGUGUUUCUUGUUUCUGAAACACAAUUGAGAAACAAAAAAGGAACAAAAUUGUGUUCCUUUGCUAUUUCUUGCUCCCUUCGAACACCGCCUCUCUCCCCCCCGCGACGAGCUUCUCCUCCUGCGAGCAGAGAAGUCCAUCGUCUUCUCCGGCGCCGACAGUGGCCUCUGUCUCGACAGCCGCUGCUCCUUCACCAGGUAAACGUGGUCACUGCUCCUCCUUCACCGAUUGUCUUCACUUCAGCGAGAGCCACCCCUCGCAGAUCUGGGCAAUGGCUAGUCGGAGCUCGAGUGUUAGGGCUCGCUCGAGCCAGCGCUUGCCUAGAUGUGCGAGCCGCUUGCUCGAGCGAGUCUCACAGAUCUGGGCGAGCGUUGCUCACCCAGAUCUGCGACAGCAGCUCGUCUGCUCGCUCGAGAUCUGGGAGAGAGAGCAGAGCAGCGAGCGUCGCUGCUGGUCAGGCUCGAGCGAGCAGAGCAGCGAGCGUCGCUGCUGCUCAGGCUCGAGCGAGCAGAGCAGCGAGCGUCGCUGCUGCUCAGGCUCCAGCGAGCAGAGCAGCGAGCGUCGCUGCGUCGCUGCUGCUCAGGCUCGAGCGAGCAGAGCAGCGAGCGUCGCUGUUGCUCAGGCUUGAGCGAGCAGAGCAGCGAGCGUUGCUGCUGCUCAGGCUCCAGCGAGCAGAGCAGCGAGCGUCGCUGCUGCUCAGGCUCCAGCGAGCAGAGCAACGAGCGUCGCUGCUGCUCAGGCUCCAGCGAGUGUCGCUGCUGCUCAGGCUCGAGCGAGCAGAGCAGCGAGCGUCGCUACUGCUCAGGCUCCAGCGAGCAGAGCAGCGAGCGUCGCUACUGCUCAGGCUCCAGCGAGCAGAGCAGCGAGCGUCGCUGCUGCUCAGGCUCAAGCGAGCAGAGCAACGAGCAUCGCUGCUGCUCAGGCUCCAGCGAGCCGCCCGCUGUGUGCCGGAACUGGAACCAUCGGCGACUCUUCUGCCGUGCCCAAUGGUGCUGGCACUGGUGAUGGGGAAAGGGCACGAAACGGGGCAAAUAUCUGGCCUUUGCGGGCGUUCCUCGACACCAUGAGGAGUUGCUGUUCCAACAAAUCUUUGUCCCGCGAUCCUGUUGUUCCGUGGCAAAAAAAACGACGCCCUAUCUAGGCCAAUAUCUUCCGGUGGGUAUUUUCCUAGUCUUUCUCCAUUUUAUUGAUCUAUUAAUGUCAAUCAAAGUAGUCAGCAAGAAUCAUGCAAAUGCCUGAAUCGAGCGAGCAGAGCAGCGAGCGUCUGCUCGCUUGCUUCUCCGCUCGAGCCAGCAGAGCAGCGAGCCCUGCUCUGCUCGCUCGAGCGCUCGCAACAGCAAGCAUAGAAGUUAUUGUUGCCAAGCGAGCGUCUGCUCACUGCUGCUACACUUUUCAUUGUGUGUGGACUGUCAAUUGACAACAUCGGGCAUGACAAAAUAGCCUUUUAUCACUCUCAUAGUUCUAUACAUUAUUGUUUCUUUAAUCUCAAUCUCUAUGACAUCAUGUAGAUCUAUGGAUUUGUGGCUGAAUAUAUCAAAGUGAUGUGAAUCAAUGCCGAAGUUAUUGUUAUUUAUUUUUCUGCCUUUGUGUUAAAGCUUCUCAAUUUGCGUUUUGUCCUAUAUUGCUUGGAUUUGGUUUAAUAUUAGUAUUUUCUGUGUGUCUCUAUGAACCCUUGCGGCUCAGCCACAUUUUGAUCCAAUCGGAAGUCGAGGAAGAAAAAGGAAAAAAUGGGUGUUAAAAGUGAGAAAGACAAAAGGAAGAAGAUGACGCCCAAAGAAGAGAACGUGUAGAGGGGUAGACUAAAGGGGAGGAGAAAAAUAAAAGUAAAAGAAAAGAAAAGAACAGAAAAAAAAAAAAGGCACGUGAGAAGAGAGUGGCUCGAUUCUCUCCCUCGCUCUGUUUUGUGCUGGUGUUUUUUGUGUUUCUUCUCCUCCCCUCCCCCCUUUGGGUAGGUCGCGACAACUGCUUAGUGAAAACUUUGUGCCCUACCAUGUCAUUUUUCAUAUGCAACCGCAUAUGACGUGUAGUUCAUUUAGUACAUUCUUUGUGAAUCUAUAAGAACAACAUUGUUCGACUUUUUUUUGUAGGAAUGUUGGGGAUUAUACAUUAUGCGAGAUCCUUGGUAUCUUAUGGCUAUAAUGCUUCGAUUUUUUCUCUUUAAGUUAUGGAUUUGCAGAGAAUGGAGGGUGCUGUUUCGUUGUUGGCUUAUUGCUUAUUGUCUUGAAUUUUUCUUUACUUAAGGUACAUCCUCAAUUGGUUGAUUCAUUCUCAGGUGAACGCUGAUGCUUUGAGAACUUCGGUGGAUCCAUCCAAAGUUCCGGAUUGCCGGUGCCAAUCCACGAAGACAUAUUCUUUUUCCCUUGCUUUGUCCGGAAUUUGCCAGUCCCUGCCACAUAAAUCGCAAUUUGCUGAAUUUGGAAACAAUCAUCCGCACGCUAAGGUUGGCCUCUCGGCUUUUUUUUUCAUUGUCUUAAUCUUAGAGAUCUUAUAAUUUAGUUGGACCAUUCACAAAAUAGGAUAGGGUAUACGGAUCCAUAUAGGUUACCAUGCUAAUUUUGUAUAUGGCGUGUAGUUCUUACGGUUUUAUGUUAAUGAUUUAAUUCAUAACUCAUGUGAUGCUCAACCGGUCGAAGAUUCAAUGGCAUCCGAGAGACACCCAUUCAAUGCAAAGUGGACGGAGUCUGUAACCAAUAUACUUAUCGGUUUAUUGGUGGAUGAGGUCAAAAAGGGAAACCGCACCUCUUCCACUUUCAACAAAGUGGGGUGGAGGAAUGUACAGUCUGAACUCAGUAGACAGACAGGAUUCCAAUUUACCAUGGUUCAGCUGAGGAACAAGGUAAACAAAUUGAAAAAACAGUAUGGCAGUUUUCACAAACUCAUUUCUCAGUCCGGAUUUGGUUGGGAUAAUGUCAACAAAAAAGUUAUUGUCGACGAUCCAAGUGUAUGGGAAUCUCAUAUCAAGGUAUUUCUUAACUUUUGUGGUCAUUUUGAUAUCAUUACAGAUGUCAUUUAUAAAAUGUAUGAUUAUAUUGCUGAAAUGUCAUUAUUGUAAAAAUUGUAGGAUAAUGUCGAGUGUGCAAAAUUCAUGAAGAAUGGACUUCCUCAGUAUCCUUGAGCUUUGUAUUAUUUUUGGUGGUACAUAUGCUACUGGUAAUUAUGCCGUAUGAUGUGCUCAAGAAGACCAUAUGUCGGAUGAUGAUGACAAUGGUGAUGACAAUGUACGUGGUGACAAUAGUGGUGGCGAUGCAGAUGGUGUCAAUGCAGGUGGUGACUAUGAUGGUAGCAAUGCAAAUGAUUUCAUUGGAUACCAUAGUGAUGACAGACUUUUUACAACAGACGAUACUGGAACUUCAGCUCGUGGGAAGCACAAAUUGGAUAGAACUCCAAAUAGUAGGCGGAGAAGAAAGAGCAACCAAUCCAAUUUUGCUGAAACUUGUAGAGCCAUACAAGAUUUUCUAAAAGUUAGGUCAUCAACUCCAUCUGGUGAUGGCUCUGCGAGCUCAGGGACUUCACAACCACCUGUUGACCCUUUCUCCGUAUCUACUGCGGUCCAGAUUCUAAACAAUAUGCCCGAGCUAGAGCAAGAUGUUUACAAUAAAGCAGUGGAACGAGCAUGCGUCAAUCGUGAAUGGAGGGAGGCUUUCAUUACAUGCAUACCUGCAAGGAGGAUUGGCCUUCUUCAAUUUCUUUAGUAGAUAUUUGGAAAUAUAUUAUGAAUUGCAUGGAGUUUCAUUAGAUUGUAUAACGUAUAUUAUCUAUUAAUAUCUAGUUUAUUCAAAUAUGAUUAGUGUUGAGACUCUUGUACUUAUAUGUAAUGGCAUAUCUUAUUGAGAUUUUAUGACUUAUGUUAUUAAUUGUUAUUAGGAUGUGUUUUCAAAAUCUAUAUUGAUGUUUUGGUCAUUUUUGUGAUUGUAUAGGUACUAUGGAAGGGGGAUCAAAUAGUGUGUCUAAUGAGCAAGUACAACCAGUUGAACAAUUCUCGGGUGAUGACAUUAACAUAUUGGUAGCGUGGCUCUGCUUAGGUACGAUGGAGACAUCCCUCAAUAUGAGAGAACCUAUUAGGGAUAGUCAAUUAUCGGGAGGAGAAUGGAUAAGGGAGAUUGUUCAUGGACAUUCAGAUAGGAUAUAUGAAGCAUUUAGGAUGGAGAGACAUGUUUUUCUCAAUUUAUGUGACUUAAUGAGGGUAAGGGGUUGGUUGAAAGAUAGUAGAUUUGUUCAAAUAGAUGAACAAGUUGGGAUAUUUUUAAGUGUGGUUACUCACAAUAACUCAAAUAGAGAUUUAUGUGAGAGAUUCCAACAUUCAAGAGAAACGAUCAGCAGGUAUUUCAAUAAAGUGUUGAAAGCAAUGAUCAAACUUUCAAAGGAGAUAAUCAAACCACCGUCCUUUGACGUCAUUCCACAAGAAAUUCUUAUUGAUCCUAGUCAUAAACGCUACUUCAAGGUAUGAUUUUUAUAUUGAUUUUAUACCGUGAAAUACAUGUAGUUGAUAAUCUUAUAUGAUAUUAGAUUGUUAAUAUAUUAACAGGGCUGCGUAGGUGCUAUGGAUGGCACCCAUAUAGAUGCUACCGUUCCUGUGUCUCAGCAGAUUCCAUUUAGAGGUAGGAGUGGGAGAACAACUCAGAAUGUGCUGUGUAUUUGCUCUUUUGAUAUGAAAUUUACUUUCGUGUAUGCUGGAUGGGAAGGAUCUGCCAACGAUUGUCGAGUGCUUUCAGCAGCACUCGAAAAUCCACAACUGCAAUUUCCCCGACCACCACCUGGUAUUUACUUUGUUUAUGAAGACAAUUUUAUGAUUAUAUAUUAUGGUUCAAUAUCACAACAAAUUUUAUAUAUAUCAUGUUACAGGGAAAUAUUACGUGGUAGAUUCAGGUUAUGCAGCACUUCCAGGAUUUUUAACUCCAUUUAGAGGCGAUCGGUAUCAUCUAAGCGAGUAUAGAGGGAAUGGGGGACGACCAAGGACAGCAAGAGAAUUGUUCAACAAAAAGCACUCUUCACUGAGAAAUGUAAUUGAGAGGUCAUUUGGGGUAUUAAAGAAUCGAUUCACCAUUUUGAGACAGAUGCCUCCAUUUACAAUUCGGAAGCAAGCACUUGUUGUAAUUGCUUGUUGUGCUCUCCACAAUUACAUUCGUGAUCAAGAUGCGAUGAAUAGAAACUUUUCCCUAUAUGGAGAUCCGGAAUAUGUAUGCGGACCUACAGAAUUGGAGGUUGCAGAUGAUACAUUGCAUGAUGCACCUGGAAUAAACAUGCUUAGGACAAGGAUUGCAAAUAAAAUGGCGAGGGAUCAUAAUAUGCCUGAAAUUUCAUGACUUUGUGUUUCCGACUUUUGUAAUUUUGUUUUUAAGUAUUCACUUAUCAAAUCCAAUGUGAUGAAGUUGAACAAUGAACUAUAUUACUUCAUUAUUGUGAUGUUAUGUAUGAAAGGGUCUACGUAGAGAUCUAUGAAGUAUUCUUCUUUUAGGUAGCUCUUAUUGUGGGAUUUUUACUUACGAAAUUUUGUUCCAAGUAUGCACAUGACCAUAUUCAAAAUGUUUGUCUUCACCAACCAUGAACAAAAUUAAAUUGAUGAGCAUUUCAUUAGAGUGAUAAUGCAAUACCGAGUUUACACUUUAUUGAAAAAAAAGGCACGUGAGAAAAAUUUGGAACAAAGUUUAUUUAUAAAAUUUUCUUCAAAGUAUGCACUUAUAACCAUGUUCAGAAUGUUUGACUUUACUCACCAUGAACAAAAUUAAAUUGAUGAACAUUUUAUGAUAAUGAGAAUUCAAAGUCAAGUUUACACUUUAUUGAAAAAAAGGCACGUGAGAAAAAUUUGGAACAAAGUUUAUUUAUAAAAUUUUCUUCAAAGUAUGCACUUAUAACCAUGUUCAGAAUGUUUGACUUUACUCACCAUGAAAAAAAUUAAAUUGAUGAACAUUUUAUGAUAAUGAGAAUUCAAAGUCAAGUUUACACUUUAUUGAAAAAAAGGCAUGUGAGAAAAAUUUGGAACAAAGUUUAUUUAUAAAAUUUUCUUCAAAGUAUGCACUUAUAACCAUGUUCAAAAUGUUUGACUUUACUCACCAUGAACAAAAUUAACUUGAUGAGCAUUCUAUGAUAAUGAGAAUUCAAAGUCAAGUUUACACUUUAUUUUAAAAAAAAAUAAAUGGGAAAAUUUUUGUACGAACUUAAAAAAAUUUCUUCCGACUAAGCAAAUAUGAUCAAGUUUAGAAUGUUUGUUUUCACUUAAUAUGAACAAAAUUAAAUUGAUGAGCAUUUCAUGAGAAUGAUAAUUCAAUACCAAGUUCACAUUUUAUUAAAAAAAAAACAAUUAAAAAAAAUUGGAACAGAAAUUUUGUACAUUACCAAACGUGUUUCUGUUCUUUUUUUAUUCCAGAAACAGAAAUUUUUUACAGUUACCAAACGUGUUUCUGUUCUUUUUCUAUUCCAGAAACAAAAAUUUUAUACAGUUACCAAAUGCGUUUUAUUGUUCAGAAAUUGUUCCCAGGAACAGAAACACUUUUUUCUAUUUCUGUUUCCUGGAACAAUUUUUAAACAGAAACGCAAACAAAUGCGCCCUUACUGUUCAAUUUGACGCUUUAAGACAACCCGAAAAUGACUCCGAUCAUUUCACAGGAGCUUUCUACUUCCCACAGCGUACUACGUGGAGGAUGCUUGAGCCGCACAUGGUCCAUUCCUAGUGAAUAGAAGCAUCCUACGUACCAAAUCACCUUUCGGCAGACCUUGCAAGAGAGGCUGAGCUCAACUCCCCCCUCCAAUCCAAAAACAAGAUGGACUGCUAAUCCUAGAAUUCUUCACACAUGUCCUGGGGUAUCAUGAAAGAUAUCGAAUCCUCUUUUACCAUGGAGCCAUCAUUCCAGCAUCUAUGUUCCAGCAAUUACAAUGCGCGCUUUUCCCAUGUUAUGGAAUUCCUGGUUUGCAGGUAACAUCCAUAUCAAGAUAAAAAGAAAGGUGGAGGGAGGGAGGUAUGGAGGGAGAGACUAGCCUCAUGUAACGACACAUCUUCCACGUUCAACCCUAUGUGGAGUGGCUUGAUAAAUCCGGGACUUUUUUGGCAGAGAUUCGCAGUUAGCUGCUUUUAGGAUACAUGUGCUUGAUGGAAGCUGUAGGAUUUCCAGUAAUUGCUCGCAUUUUCACACUCGCGAUUCCUAUAAAUAAUCAUGCUCACCGUCGCAUGAUGGACAGCUAGUAAGAUUGUUUCCACUUCCCAGACACAUAUGAACAUUCCUGGUUGAAGACAACAGGAAAGAUUCUGGAGGAACCUUAAUCCAGGCAUAACACAGCCCCGAGGUCCAACCAAUUCAAAUUCUAAUGUCCAAUGUCCAUAUGUGGUCAGUUAAACCCCUUCGUUUGCUACGCAAACUUGACAGGAUUGGAGCAACCUUCGAGAGUCGGGUACUCGAUGUUUCGCAACUUACAAACUCGUGCAUUUGUAGCCCUUUCUCUUCACCUGUCUAGGACUUAUUGACAACAAGAACAUGUACUUCAAUGGCCGUAUGAAUAUUGCAGCAAUUAAGAACUUUCUUAAUGUAAUCAAUAGUCUGCCCCUCGAGGAAACUGACUAUAUCGAGAAGAAUCUCCUUUGCGUAUCCUCCAGCCAGGCCAUCUUAAGCGCAUCAUUGAUGCUUUCUUUUAGGAGUUUUGAUAAGUUUAUUCAGUGCACGUCCCAUUCACCUCCUCUUCUACUGCACAAAAUGGAACCCAGACACCUCGAGUGCAAAAGGAAGGCUUUUAGCAUUAUCAUUAUGCAAAAUGGUAUUCCUUAAGAUUCCUCUUUAUUUCUAAGUUCUCGCCCCUUAGAAAAGCUACUUACUGAAAGGUUCAAGGGACUAUCAUCUAUAAGAGCUUCAACCAAAUAGAUUCAUCCCAACCUGUAAGUAAGAUGGUCCUUUUUCCCUCUACCAAACCACUCACAUCCUCCGACUAAAUCAUUUCAUCGUGUCAUGCUAUCGACAUAGGGAAGAGUAUACAUCUAAAAAAUAUGCCUACAUGGAGUAUAGAUUAUUUCACCAGUGUGUGUCUAAAAAAUUCAAUUAAUGUUUGAUAACAUCACUGAAUCCAUCAUCUGUCCUAAUUUUGUACAUAAUCAAUUACUUAUUUGAUUGGAAAAUCACUGAUAAAAAAAAGAGAUAAGUUGAAAAUAUUUUCUUUACACUUGCCAUUCUAUAAAUUAAUUGAUAAAAAACAAAAACUGAUCCUAGAUCAAUAUCGUAAAAUUUCACAAAAAAAAAAAAAACUAAAUAACUAAACGAAUUAUCUUUAAUAUCACAUCUAGGAACCAUCUAAUUUGAAAAUAUGAUUCGUACAAUUAUAGUAAAUUUUCAAUAAGUAACGAUAAUUAUUUGUGAUAAUCGUGGCGCAACCGAUUGAUAAAACUUGGAUAUACAUCGGGUCCUAAAAUUGGCGGCAGCAUUGGCGCCGUCACCACCGCAGGGUCGGCCCCUAAAAUAUCUAUUUUCUCGAGCAAACAGAUAAAAGAAGAGUAUAAGAUCAUCUUCCUUCGUGUGUGCUGUUCGCUCUCGACGGUUUCUCCGAUCUCCGGCAGAAAAUAGAGAACCUCUCUCUCUCUCUCUCUCCUUUCUCUCACUUAGAGCAGAGUCACCUGCGAGCGAUGGACACGCUCCUCUCUCCGCUGCUCUCGGCGCCUCUCUCACGCCUCCACUCCACUGCUUGUCCAGUUCAUCGGCCGCCACCAUCCGCCGGGCUUGGCCUCCUUCUCAAUCUGACUUCAGUUUCUGCGAAUCGGGCUUCUGAUCCCUGAAUCACCCGCCGUCGCCGCCGCCGGAGGCGCUCUCGCGGCCAAUCUCGUGCCGGUUCACGCUCUUUCUCUCUCGUUUUGUGUUUCUAGUACUUGGCGCUUGCGAUCGGUUUGGAAUCUCUUGAUGUUGUUUGUGCUUCGUGAUUCUUUGGUGGAAUGUAUUUGUAAUCUCUCUUACUGGCGCUGUGCUUGUGAUGUGCAACCUCGGAUCAGUUUGAGCCGCUGACGUUUGUUGAGAAGUCGAUUCUCUUGUUGCGGUUAUGAUCGUAUGACGUUGCAUUCUAGGGGAUUAGCGAGUCUCUCUCGUUCAGCAAUCGGAAAAAGUUGCUUCCUUUAGUUCACUUAGCGUUGCAAAUGACUAUACUAAGGGCCUGUUUAGUAACCAUCCAAACAGUGCUUGAUUCUGAUUUUUUGUUUCCAGAAUCAGUUUGGGAUGAGAAUUGCGUUUGGUAAAAUUUUUGUUUCCGGGACCAAAUUUGUUCCUGGAACAGAUUGGGAAGAGAAUAAAAAAAAAAAAAGUUCAUUCUUGUUCCGAGAACAAAAUUGAGAAUCAAAACUCUUCUUCUCCUCUUUUCUUCUUCUUCAUUAACUGCCAUCUCGCGACUGCCUCCCGCUGCCCACCGUCAUCUGUUGCCGCCGGUCGCCGCCGAUUGCCAGCAACUAGUCCGACGAGCUCGCUAGAGGCUCUCGUCUAGCCUAAAAAGAAAAAAGAAAAAAGAAAAAAAGAAAAAAAAGAAUAGGAGAAAAAAGAAUAAAAAAGAAAAGAAGAAGAAGAAGAAGAGUAGGAGAAGAAGAAUAAAAAGAAUAAAAAAAAAGAAGAAUAGGAGAAAAAAGAAAAAAAAUAAAGAAAAAAAUAAAAAUAAAAAACGUGCUAUAACCAAAAACCAUUACACAUUGCCAAGCAUCCGAUUGAAAGUUAAUUAUCUUUGGAAAGUUAAAUUAGUGUCUGGUCGAGUUGCAGCUCUAUCUCUCAUAUGGUUAUCACUUGUACUAAUAAAGAAAUAGAAACGAAAACCAAGAUCAUUUAUGAUGCUCCGAGUCGAUAAGCAUAUAGGGUGCGUUUGGUUCAGCAUUUGGAAAGCUCAUUGGGAAAAUGCAAAGCAGUUUAGCCUAAAGGCCUUUGAGGGAAAUGCAAAGACUGUUUGGUAAAUUCUGCUUUGAAAAGCAACUUUGAGACAAAUGCUGUUUGGUAGAAAACACAUUUACAAAGCCCCUUUGGUGAUUUAUCUAAAUAUUUUAAUUUUUAUUUGUUUAAAAUUAAAAAAAUAAUGUUUGCGACUUUUUUAAUUUAUAUUUGACAAUCAUGUUAAAGAUAUUGUGUAAACAAUUUUAUUUAUAUUAAAAUUUCUUUUUUUGCUAAAAAAUAUCAAAUGGAAAAAAAUUACAUACUCUCUUUCUAAAUUACAAGAAGAAUAUUUUUAUUACAAUAAAAAUAUAAUAACAUAUGUUUUAAAGAAAGAAGCUCAUUAUCCUUAAAACCAUAGAAUUGCUUCGUAUCGUUGAGGUAUAAACUUAUUAUGCAAGAUCUAGAGGCAGGCUCAAGUAAAAACAAAGAAGGUUGAAGAUAUUGAUUUACAUCUAAACUAUGAGCAUCACUACAUUUUGCAUCGGAUGCUUUCGAGAAACCCCAAUUGAAUGAACAGUUGGCAAAAUGAGUUAAUGUUUUGAUCCUCAGUGCCAGAACAUGACCCCAGGAUUUUCCCUAAGUAACUCUAGCGAAAACCUUUGGAAAUUGGAUUUGCCAUGGUUAUCGUGGAUCCUUUUGGCCUGUUCUUUUGCUUAGCAUGCUAAAUCCAGACGUGCGACCAAAGUGAUGGAAUUAAUUUGCAAUCUUACUCGUCUGCAAUGGGAGCCUCAACUGUCAAUUUGCGCAACGAACAAUCUAAGAUAGAGUGAAAUCAUACACAGGAGUAGAGUAACUCAAAAACCGCACUAAACCACAUUAUUAUGAUCCAUACUUAACUCUGGAAUCUUAAAUACAAAUCCAAAGCUCAACUCAUAAGGAAAAUAAGGGCAAGCAAAGCUAUUCUCUGCACUGAGCAAGGAGCAGGUGCAAUAAUUGACACAGGGCUUCAUUCCUCCUGGACUUGUAGACUACUCUGCCUCCAUGGACGAGGACAGGGACUUUCUGGUGAAUCGGGUUGAGCCGCAGAAGUAGAGCGCUCUUGUUGAGGAUGUUUUCCUCGAUGCAGUUGUAGGUUAUGCCCUUGAGCUUCAAUACAUACUCUACCCUCCGCACGAACGCAAGAAGGGGCUGACCCAGAGCCCCAAAAGCUCUACUUCCUGUGGAUUUGCCAUUCGAGCGUUUCAGGAGAAGACUGGUUUUUCUGUGAGCUACAAACUUGACAAACCACAGGCCCUUCCCGAAAAAAUCAUACAGCAUCCCAUACCCAAUCUAAUGCCUUCCAAAUCAUAAACUCUUACCCACGAACAUCAUCAGAGAUCUUAAGAAAAUCGUGCAUAAGCACUCACUGACAAACCACAACCAAAGAGGCUGACCACGGUCACGGUCCUCCAAUGCUCUCCGCACACCAGACUACCCUCGCCGACUCCGCCAGUCGCCGAAUUCACGAAGUUCCACCGCAGCAGCCGAGUCAAAACUCCCAUUCCAUCGCUCUGCUGCGCGGACCCGCUCGUCUUACUCAUCUUCACGGCCUUCAGCGGCUCCCUCCUCUUGACCACCCUCAUGUCGACACCCACAUUCUCAUCCUCUCCUCGGCAGCUCAACUCCACGGCCACGGUAUCCAGUGGCGCCGGCAUCACGACCAUCAGCUGCGAUUGCAACCUCAGCGCCACCUGAUCCUCGUCGUCGCCCGCCGUCCAGUCAAGCUCGAUCCUCCCGGGCCCCGCCUCCUGAUCCCGCGGCGACAUCGACCCCAGCGACGACCCCGACCCCGAUCCCGACGACGCCAUCGACGAGACCGACGCGCGCGUCGGAUCCUCGACGCCGGCGUGGCCCAGAUCCUCCCCGGCGCCGUACGCGAGCGCGAGGUGGAAGCUCUCGGACGUCUGGUUCCAUCCCACCCAAGACAUUCCCGAUCGGGGAUCUGCCAGCCUCGCGCGCCGCUCACCGCCCUCUCGGUCGAUCGAUCGCGGUAGUCGUCGUCGUCGGCGGCGGCGGCGGAUCGGAGGACGGCAGUCGAGCUCGCAGUCGUCAUGAGGGAGAGAGCGAUGGGGAAGGGUGCGGAGCAUGGGGGAGGGUGUGGAGAGAACGCCAGGGUUUUAGUUCUCAAAAUGGACAAAAUUGGUUUUUCAAUAAAAUUUUGAGGGUAAAAUAGGUAAUUUACUAACUUUCAUUAAAUGACCCUUCAGCAUUCUCAAUGGUUGGCUUUCACCCGAAAGCCCUUUGAGAAUAAUUGCCAAACACCCCAAAUUUUCUCCAAUGGGCUUUGAGGCUCCAAGGGGCUUUCUAAAUGUCGAACCAAACGCACCCAUACUCCCCCAACUAAUUUAACAGAAAGCAGCAUUUUGCAUAAGGUGCACAGAACCAUCCUAUGUAGGAGCUUCCAGACUUGACUUGCCUUUUCCAUCAAUAAAAUAAAUAGAAAAGAAAACUAGCAGUACUCUCAUGCUCCGGGUGCUAAUAUACAUGAGUCAAUCGUAAAACAUCGGUUGUUGGAAUAUUAUUUAUAAUGAACAAUCUGACCUUUUCAAGGGCUUCUACAAAAGCAAAUCCCAGAAUAAUUUUCCCUCACUUUUCAAACUAUUUUUUUCCAUACCAUAUCUUGCAUUGACCGAACAAAUUCGAAUCUGUUCAGGAAUUUCUUCAAACACGUAAUGGGCAGCGAGUUGGAGAGCGAAUAUGGACCUAUUCGGAGCUCGAGCUGAAACCUAAACUCAAGAGAAAUCAGCGAGCAACGUUCAAACUUAAGAAAAACCGACUCAUUCAGAUCCGACGCGAGUGAGGACUAAAGAAAUUGAGCUUGCUUUGCUCUUUUAAAAUCAAGCGGGACGAGGCAAAAAAGAAAAAAAAAAAAAAAAAGGAACGAGCACUCAAUCGCGGGGGCCCUACCUGGGUUGGCGGCCGCGGGCAUCGUCGGCGGCGAAGGUUGAGAAUAGCGACUCCAAACUCGUGUUAGGCUUCAGUCGACUCCACUGAGGUCAGGGACGGCGACGACGAAUGGCAGCGGGCAGACGAUGCUCUGGAGGUGGCGGACGACGUAGAUCGGCUGUGGCUCUGAGGUUUUGUGUGGGGCUUCAAUGGCGACCAUUCACGUAGUAGAGAAAGACCAAGAUGCUUUUUUUUUUUUUUUUCCUUCUUUUCGUGAGAGUAAAGAAGUGGCUGACAGUGAAGGAGUGCGGUAGGACUCCGGGAAUGGAAUGCGAGAGCAGUCGCCGGUAGGAGGUAGUCGGACGGAGAUGGUGGAGGUAGCUGGUAAGGUGAGUUCUGGAAAAAGGGCGGGGAAUGCCCUUUUUCCCUUUCUAGAAAAAUCUCCCUGAAGAUGGUGGUCUCCCCUCCCUUUCCGUGAACGCCCCGCCUUUUUUCCCCCCUUUUAUUAUGGGAAAUUGUCUCUUUUAAGAGAGAGCGCGAGAGAUCCCUAGAAAGAGCUGUCCUUUCAGAUUCGAAGAGGCGGCUAUUAGAGGAGAUGAAAGUUGAUGUGCUUCCGCAGAAUGCCUACUGUCUUGGGUUGCGGCUUUAUCUCUUAUGUGUAUAUCGCUUCGUCCUUCUUGACCGUGACUUUCUCGGAUCACGUGCAGUGAUAAUCAAAGAAAGUCAUAAAAAGGAAAACUAAAGGAUAAUCUAUUGCACGCGUGCAUAAAAUUUAUGCCGCAUCCCUAUUUUUUAUUUUAUUUUUCUUUCUUGUUUUGACUUGCUUUCUUUACUAAUAAAAAAAUAGAAACGAAAACCAACCACAAUUCCAAUACUCUGAAUCGGUAAGCAUAUUCUCCGCCGAACUAAUUUAAUAAAAGGUAAAUAGUGAUAGAAAAGAAAACAAAAGGACAAUCAAUGCACGCGUAAUUAAGGUGCGUGGAACCUGCUUCUUAAGUUGACUGGCCUUUUUCAUUAAUAAAAUAAAUAGAAAAGAAAACUAGCUAUACUCCCAAGCCCCCAGUGCCAUACAUGAGUUAAUUGCAAAAGCAUUGCUUGUUGGAUUAUUAUUAUUUAUAGUGAACGAUUUGACCUCUUUUUUUCCAUCAUAUGGGAUUCUAGACAAGUAAACCCCAAAUCACUUUGACCUCACUCCUUAAUUAUUAUUAUUUUUUCGACAUUUUGCAUUUAUUUUAUACUUUUAAUGUCACAUUUAGAAUUUCUUAGGUAAAGGGUUAUCCACGGUCAAAUAACUAUUUAGGGAAUACUUUUUUUUUCCUUUUUUUUUCAUUUUUGUCAAACCUUUUAUUCCACAUUAACACUCUAUUUUCUUAACUUCUUAGUAAAGAUUAUCACUUAUUCAUCUGAAGGUGUUUGUCAUUAGUAAUCGGAUAUUAUGAAGGGGNNNNNNNNNNNNNNNNNNNNNNNNNNNNNNNNNNNNNNNNNNNNNNNNNNNNNNNNNNNNNNNNNNNNNNNNNNNNNNNNNNNNNNNNNNNNNNNNNNNNUGAGAGAGAGAGAUGUGUGGGCGUGAGAGAUGUUGCCCGAGGGGGGAGGAAAAUUAAAAGAAAAUAUCCUAUGACCCAAAAUUCUUGAUCCCAUUUGCUGUUGUUUAAUUUGAAUUGGUCCCCAAAAAUCCCCAUACUAAAAUACUUGAUCCUUAUUUGCUUUCUCGUACCAAAUUUCCCUUAAACGACAAGUCUUGGGUAACAAAAACGGCAAUUUCCUUUGAUUCCAAAUUUUAUUUCAUUUUUCUCGAAAUCCGAUUUUCUGAGCAAACAUCUCCGAUUGAGGUCUAAUUUGUUGAGAACAAAGCCCAUAAAAAUUCCCUUUUCACUAAUUCACUUACACCAAAUGCCAAAAAUUCCUUAAAAUUGGUUAAUCUGAAUUUCUGUUCAUUUUUCGAAUUGUCUAGAUCGAUUUUCGGUAAAAAUCUUGAACUCUCUCAAAAUUCCUCGAAAGAUGAGUCGACGUUCCUAAUAUGACCUGUGACAUAACAUAACUUUCAAUUUCUGAAAUCGAGUUUAAAUUCGCAGUAAAUUUCAAUUCGGCGCAAUUUUAGCGUGACCUAGGCUACCGGGUAGCUUUCAAAAUUUUUUAAUGCAAAUGACUCGUAAUCGAUUUUCUUCGAACCACAAUGAACCCAUUCAACACAUUGACGACUCUCGGUUGUCGUAAAAAUAUCGAGGUUUCGAUUACAAACACAUGGUACCAAAACGAUAAAAAAAUCAAGUUAGUAUCGAUCGACGAGAAUUUUACAAUUUAGUGGAAUCACCUACGUUUAACCACAUAUCUCAGUCAAAUCGACAUAUAUCUUAUUUCUAAUUGAUCUUUACUGUGUCAUAAUGAUCUCAACAGAUGAGUACAGUCGAGUAGCCGAUUUCUCGUCAAAUUCUCAAGUCUAUUGCUUUAAAAUUUCGUAAUGGCUUUCCUAGAUAGUCUAGUUAUCUCAAGAGUGAUCAGCUUUGAAACAGCUAUAUAGGCGCAUCGAUGAAAUACCAGAUUAAUUUAAUUGAAAGUAUAAGUGAAAAAUCCAAAAUGUCACAAUAUAUUUAAGGUCUAUCUUGUGAUUAUGUUCAACCAUUUUGUAUAAUGAAUUGAGAAGAACUUCAAUAAUAAAUACAUGAUGCGCAAAUCUCUGGUCCAUUGAUUUUGCAAAUUGGCUCUGCCAAUUCAUUUUAAUUAGAGUAAAGAAGGGCUAGUAUUAGAUCAAGGAUAGUUUAGUUGGAAUAUAGAUAGUGUAAGAGGAUGAUCAUCGAAGAGUGUCAAUUAAAUUUAGAAUCACCACAAAAAAGAGGUUUUUCAGCGCAAGGGACAAGGUCAUGAUGUUAUACGACGCGCUAGGGAUGUAUGGUGUGGCAAGCAAAUCAAUUUCUAAAUUUUAGCGUCAACUAAGACGAUAAAUAUUUCAUACGACCAAUUUGAUUGGCUGGUCACAUCAUGUCAGUUGUUGGCGAUCUAACUAUUGAAUGAAAUAUUUUUCUCAAACAAGGGGAUAGUCCCUUGAAAAGUUUUCGAAUGCUAGAACUCCCAAGCUUGCGAGAACUUUGAGAAAAACCUACUCCCUUUGAAGAAAUGCUACUCAUUGUCACCCAAAAUCGCAAGGACUUUCUAGUAGGUACUACUGUUGAUAUGCACUUUAUAGUUACUAAUUUCCAUACCGUCACUUAAGAGUUCGAUGAAAGAUUUUACUAUGCUAUUGGAUAAUUCCUAAAUGACAGGAUCAUCAAGAUAUAAACUCUACAAUAAAACUACUAACCUUAAAAGAAAGUUAUUAACUAUAAGUUACUAUCUACAGAUAUAGUGAUGAUCAUGAGGACUUCUCAGGACUUACGACCGUUGGAAAAAUAAUUACGAUGUACAAAUACUAUCAUUUACAAAUAAAGAGGAUAAUUACUGUAUCAAUGGAGAAUUAAAAAAUGAUGACACCCACGGAUUAAGAAUAACGAAAGGGAUGUUCGUGAUGGAAAGUUAAUAAUCGUAGGUGCAGUAUAACUUUCGAGGAUUUCAAGUGAUUUACACUUGUUUUGGAAUAUUUACUGAGAAAUUUCGUCAUUUAUUAUAACUAUUUGAUGAAAUUUACUAUAUUAACUUUAAGUUUACUAACGACUAAGAUUAACACACGGGUAUAACAAAGAUUAUUUUUGGCAAUAAGCAAAGAUUGACAUACGGCUACAACUGGAUUAUGUAUAGAAACACAUAAGCAAUGCUGCAAACCUUUUCUACUUCUUGUGUACUUAUCUUUAUCAUUAUAGAUAAGUACACAAGAAGUCGUAAAACUUAUUACAAAAGUACAAUCAAAUCUCAAAACUUUUAAAAAGUACGAUCGAAUUUUAAAACUUAUUCAAUCAGUGCAAUUAAAUACUUUUGUUAGCACAAUCUAGUAUGAGUAAUGAAAAAUGCCGGCAUGUAUAUAUUAAUAUAAUUUGACUGCGCAUGCUGGAGAUACUUGAGCCGAACGUGAUGCCCCACUCUAAUGAAUUGAAGUGCCUCGUGUGCCAAGUCACCUUCUCUCCAUUUUCAGAUAUAUUGAAUCUGACAUGAGAGAUUGAAACCAAACACUAUCUCUUACUUCAACAACAUCAUGAAUGUCCUGGGGUAGUAGGAAACGUACGCCAACCCCUAAUUUGUUUCGCCGGCUUAACGAUUGCUUCCUCAAGACCCAUUUAACUUGUUUCGCUGUCAUUGGCUUUCACUUCCUCCAUUAAGCACGGAGAAAUUUCCUCAAGAAAUCUCUCGUCCCCAUUUCAUAAAUUGAAGCUGCAUCCACUGAUUGAUGGUCUCUAAGCACAACUUUCAAAUCAUCAUCCAUUCGCUUGCAUCUUAGCACAUAUCCCACCUUUUCCACGUUUCCACCCGACACUCUGAGUGUAAGGCUAAAUUGUAAGUAAUCCUUGUCAAAUUCAAGAAAAUCAAUUGCUCCCUCCAACACUCCCCACAGCACAUUUGGUUCAAGAUAUUGAAUCCACAUUUGAUAUGAAUCAAAUGAACCAAGAGAUCCUGAUAGCACAUUUCGUUUUUGGCUGUUAACAUGGGGCACGAUGUCGAAAAAUAUUUCCUUUUCUCCAUCUUCUACAUUGAAAACAACACAGAGAGCUAAUCCUUGGAACUUAUUAUAAAAGUCCUGUGAAACCAAGAAAGUUAUGGUACCACCUUCAACAAGGAUGAACUCCUCUGGCAUUACUCUUUUAGGGAGAACAACUCUGUAGGGAAAAAAUAUGGAGUAGCGAUACUUCUGUUAUAAGGGUAAAUUGUCAGAGGUACCCAAGUUGGUAAUUAGCUGAAAUUGAAGAGUUUAUUUUGAGAAUCUUUCUUGUAAUUCAACCAAAGCUAGAGUUUUAUAAUAAUUGAACAUAUUGAUCCUUCACUUGCGAGUGUUGUAGCCACCCCUAUAAAAUGUAAGUGCAGAAUCGCUUUAUGUUAGAUUUGCUUGUUUGUAUAGAAUUUUCAGUUCUUGCUUUAUACAAACGGAGUGCGCCCGACAUACGCUCCAACAAAUCAACACGUGCACUUAGGAAUGCGCGCGCACCCAGAGAGAGAGAGACAGAGACAGAGACAGAGACAGAGACAGAGACCUCAACUGAGAAGCCAGGCCUGAUCCUCUCGUCUUCGUCUUCUGAAAUAUCGUAUUCUGAAAUAUCGCAAUCUGAAAUAUCGUCUUCUGAAAUAUCGCAAUCUGAAAUAUCGUCUUCUGAAAUAUCGUAGUCUUCUGAAAUAUGGUCGUCUUCUUUAGUUAUACGGUCUUCCACUGACUUGUUAUCUUCAUGGGCUCGCCACCGCUAUAACAUAUAGGUGCAAAAUCACAAUAUAUUAGCUCGUUUUGUUUACUAGCAUUUACGGCUUUUGCAUUAUACAAAAACAAUGCACCCAUAUCAAUCAAACACACACACCCCACAAUCGCGGGGAAGGAGAGAAGGGGUGGGGGGGGUGGGGAGGACCUGAAAUGAGAGAUCGGCCGAACUUUCUUCCUCUCUGGUUGUUUCUUUAUACCCAUGCCGAAUCUCAUAGAUCAAACUCGGAUUUGGCAACUCGUUGUCUUGAUACAAGGACUUCAAAUCGUCCUCUAGUGGCUUGCAUAUUAAUCGAAAUCCACACUUUUUUAUAAUUGUAUCACCCGAUGCUCUAACACCAAAUUGGAAGGAACUUAAGUCAAUUGGACCAAAAUCGUCUACUGGCCAUAGCUCCUCUCUUCCAUAAGAAAAAAGCCACACAUGAUACGAAGUCGAUUGAAUUGAUUCGUCUGUAUAUCGAGAUUGAUGGGUACCAUUAAUGUACGAAUUGAUUUUCACUUUUAAAAUUCGUUGCCCUUCCUUUACUCGAAUUACAAGGCAUAAAACGAAUGUCAAGAACUUAUCAUACAAAUCCUUUGAAGCCAUGAAAGAUAUAUAACCCUCUUUAUUCGGGAGCAACCAUCGCGGCAUCUCUCCUCCAGGUGAGAUAAAUGUUGCCAUUUGUUUCAAAACAAGAUUACUGUCAUAGAUGUAAAUCAUUAGGACAGUAUUUUGAAUUUAGCACUUGAAAAAGAGGAGUUCCAAUGAGUUAAGUGGGUUGGCAAGUUUAGCUAUAGUUAGCAAUACAUGUACAUGUCUCCGUAUUAAUAAGAGAGAGAGAGAGAGAGAGAGAGAGAGAGAGAGAGAGAGAGAGAGAGAGAGAGAGAGAGAGAGAGAGAGAGAGAGAGAGAGAGAGAGAGAGAGAGAGAGAGUCUGACCUUAUUAUGGACCAGAUUAGGAGAUAAUAAGUAAAUGUUGGAGGGAAUUUUACUUAGAGAUUCACAACUCGUUGCCCACAAUUCCUGCAAUUUUUCUGGAAUCUUGCCAAUCUCUUGUAGCUGAUGGCAUUCCUCAACACUCAAAUGUUGUAAAUUAUAGAGGUGCUCACAUGUGGGAAGCUUAGCAAAAUUGUUUUUGGACAAACACAAUUGUCUUAAGUACGGAAAACAUGAAUGAUUCUCUAAGAACUCUACGUCAUGUAGAUUGCAUCCCCCAAGCAUUAAGAUCAGCAGCUUAGGAAAUCCCAUCUUGCUAUGUAGAUCAGUCAAAUCCUCUUCCUUUUUUGGAAACUUGAUUAGUUUUGAACAACCAUCAAGUAUCAAGCUCUCAAGAUUUGGCAACUUAUAAAUGCUAGAUGGGAGGUUUGCCAGUUUCUUGCAAUUAAUUAAACUCAAAUUCUCCAAAGAGACAAGAUUUUCUAUGGAUGCAGGAAGUUCAUCAAUCGAAGUCCCUCUUAAAUAAAGUUCUUUCAAGCCUUUGAUUUUAUUUGGAAUAUUAGGAAAUCUUUGCAACUUUGAGCAAUCGGUAAGAUUGAGAAUUUGAAGAUUCUUGGAUUGGAGCACAUCCGGGAGAUGAUGAAGGUUAGAGCACCCUUUUAGAUUCAACAACCGUAACCUGGUGUGAUGUGCAACUGAUUCAUGAGCACACUCCAAAUUUUUGCACCCACGGAGAUAUAGUUCCUCAAGAUUUGGAGUCAAAUUGAGGUCUGGCAUACAAACCAUCGACGGACAUUCACUAAAAUUGAGGAACUUCAAAUUUUUAAAGUCCUGCAAGAAACAUCCAGACGAAAAAAAAAAGUGAAGAUAAAAAUAUUUAAUGAAAAACACUUUAUCAUCAUUCAAGCCCCGUGUGAUCAGAUAUUAGUUGAUCAUAUGAUGUAUAUAGAGCACUCUCUCUCCCUUGGCCAAAAGAGAAGAUCAAAAAAGAAAACACUAGUCAUUCCACCUGAGGUCUAUCAAGCGACAUACAAGAGAAAUCAUUCCAAUGCCAAGUGGCGUGGCCACUUCUACUAUCUAUAUGUUCAGAAACAAUACAUGUAAUUCAUGGCAUGAAUUUAAGCUAACAUAGGUGGCACUUGUGAAUAGAAUAAUAGGGAUAGAAUAUAUUUUCUUGAUCCGUGAGUCGGUUUAUACUUUUUAGGAUUGCUUUAGUCUCAACUACAAUAAUAGGGAUAGAAUAUAUUUUCCAGAAAAAUGCUGCCUGAAGAUGGUGAUCUCCUCUUCCUCCCUUUCCGAGAACGCCCUGCCUUUGUUUUUUUUUUUUUUGCUUUUUUUAUGGGAAAUUGUGUCUCUAGAGAGCUUGAGAGAUCCCUAGAAAGAACUUCCCGUCAGAUUCGAAGAGGCGGCGAUUAGAGGAGAUGAAAGUUGAUGUGCUCCCGCAGGAUGCUUACUGUUUAAUCGGGUUGCAGCUUUACCUAUUACGUGUAUAUCGCUUCGUUCUUGAAAAUGACUUUCUCGAAUCACGCGGCAGCGACAAUCAAAGAAAGCCAUAAAAAGGAAAACCGAAGUUAUUGCACGCGUAAUUUCCGCAUCCUUAUUUUAUUUAUUUAUUUUCCUUUCUUGUAUUAACUUGCUUUCUCUACUAAUAAAAAAACAGAAACGAAAACCAAUCACGAUUCUGAUACUCUGAGUCAGUAAGCAUAUUCUCCACCGAACUAAAUUAAUAAAAAGCAGAUAGCGAUAUAAAAGAAAACAAAAGGACAAUCAAUGCACGCGUAAUCUCCACAGCAUUUUGUGGAAGGUGCGUAGAACCUGCUUUUUAAUUUUGCUGACCGUUUCCAUUAAUAAAAGAAAUAGAAAAGAAAACUAGCAAUACCCCCACACCCCUGGUGCUAAUAUACAUGAGUCAAUAGCAAAAACAUCGCCAGUUGGAUUAUUAUUAUUUUGAUAUCCAAAGAACUCCGUACAGCCGGUAGCCGGCGAGUAAACCUAGGGUGACGCUAGCGGAUGACCUACUACCUCAAUGUCACACUUAAAACACCAAAUACCUCCACUGGGUUGGGAAAGGAUCAAUGGGGUUCUUGAGCCUGUUUGGUUCGACUUUUGGGGAAUGCAUUUGCCAAAAUGCAAAUACCUUUGGGUGAAUGGGGUUUUCCAAAAUGCAAAUAUUGUUUGGUAAAAUUUACAUUGAGAUACAAAUUUGGCCAAAAUAUUGUUUGGUAAAAUUUGCAUUUGUAAAUGACUUUUAUUAAAUUAAAAAAACAAAAAAAAAAUAUUUUUUCUUUUUUGAAGUCCGGUCGUCGGAUGGCCAGAUCUGGCAGCCUAAGGUUGCGUCGGUCGCCCGACCCCGGCGACCGUCGCCUGAGGUCGCGCGAUCUCAGGUGGCUGCUUGGGUCGCGCGAUUCAGGCAACGACUGGGUCGCGCGACCCAGGCGUCACCAGCGAUGGUCGCCGGCACACGCGACUCCUUGGCCGGCAGUCGGCAGCCUCCGAUCGACUUCUCCAUCGGAGAGAUGAACAGUGAUGAAUAGUACCAAAGUUGCAUUCCGAAAAUGCAACUUCCCAAUGGAUCUCUACCCCUCCAUUCCCCCCAAAGGCCUUUGAAGCCCCUUGAAGAUACAAUUGCAUCUUCCCAAAGUCCUCAAAAAAUUGAACCAAACACCACAGCAUUUUGCCAAACACCUUUAAAGCCCCAAAGAGCAUUCCAAAUGCUGAACCAAAUAGGGCCCUUAUCCAGCGGAGCCACCACAGCCAGUGGUCCGGUUGGAUUAUUUAUAAUGAACGAUUUGACUCUUUUUUUUCUGUUAGAAGGGAUUCUAGACAAGCAAAUUCCAAAAUAAAUUUUCCUUACUUUUCAAACUAAAUUUCUUUAUACCUAUCUUGCCUAAAGAUUAUCAAGUCAUCCCACUUUAGCCAACUCACUUUGAUCUCACUCCUUAAUUAUUUUUGUUUUUGACAUUUUAUAUUUAUUUUAUACUUUUAAUGUCAGAUUUAGAAUUUCUCAGCUAAUGGAUUAUCUGUGAUCGCAUAACUAUCUAGGGAAUGCUUUUUUUCCUUUUUAUUUCAUUUUUGUCAAACCUUUUAUUUUAUGUUAACACUCUGUUUUCUUAACUUCUUAGUAAAGAUCAUCACUUGUUCAUUUGAAAGUGUUCGUCAUUAGCAAUCGGAUAUUAUGAACCGACUAUAAUUAUAUCGGCUUUAUCUUCCGAUAAAUACUGGAGCUUUAUGACUUUGAAUAGCAAUGACAUAUAGAGGAUUCAUGGAAUUGAAACUUCUGCUUCAAUGUCCUAGUGAUAUUAUUUAGUGUAUGUAUAGCUGCCUUUUGACGACGUUCUCAUGUAGGAGCUUUUGGACACUUUUUGCCAAUAAAAGGAUUGCGAGAGGUUGAGAUAUUUAUUUUGCAUGCAUUAUAGUUUGACUGGUGGAUGAUUUUGAGAGAACUUGCAAACUAGGAGUGAUUUUGAGUGUUUUUAUUUCUCCACUCAUAUCAAAUGAGAAAUAUUGAGUCAUUUGAUAUAAAGUUUGUGCGUUCUCUCUUGGGUUGAACCACUGAAUUCAUCUAGUACUAUUAUAUAUUUUGAUGCUCUAUAGAGGGCCUUAUGAAGAGUUGACAUGUGGCUCAUUUAAUGGUUGCCACCUCGCUUUCAUUUUCUUUAAUUUAUUCAUAAUUUUUUUCUCUUCAUUUCCAAGAGAAGGUGAUAAGUGUACCUAGCCAUUAACUCAGCGUAUAGUAUAAUAGACUUUCUUUUUUUCUCAAAGACUCGUUUGCCUUUAGGGGAAGCUCAACUUUAUCAUUUGCAAUGUCUUCUCUGCAGAUUUCUUUUUCCAAAGCCAUGCUUUAUGAUCCAUCACUUCACAAAAAUGUAUAUCUGAAAGCACAUCCAACAAGACAUGAAUAAAGGCAAGUGCAAAAAGAAGAACAAAUUUUUCGUAGAAGAACAAAUUUUGCGUGAAGUCAGAAGCUACAAUCAGUCAAUUCUAAUCCAGAAAAUACAGCUGAAUGAGGCAUAAAGUCUCUAGCUUGUUGUGUGCAACCAUCAACAAUUCACAGCUUCACGAGAAAGUAUAUCACGGAUCUGUCAAACGAAAUUCUUAAAGUGACCACAAAGAAUUAUGUGUCGUAAACAAUGCAUUCCCUAAAAGGAAGACAGAGAAAAGGCAUGGAUGAAUUGCUAAAUACUAAAAUCACUUCAGAUAAAGUUCAGAACAAUAGGUAAAAAAAAAAGGGCUUUUGCAUCUGUGCACUACAGAUUCUUAUGCAUCAGCUCAUCCUCGAUUGAACAUUACAGGGCCUUUUUAAUAUGUAAAAUACCGUUGUUAUCAAUUGUCAUCAAAUGUUAAUUUCAGCGUCUGUCUGCACAUAGGAAUUAAUUAUACAGUAUCGCAUUGGGACACCAUAAUGUCCCACUCUCGACCAUGUACAUCCGAAGCAAGGGUUGUGAUAGUAAAUUGGUAAAAAAAGCAUCCGAAUGGAACUUUGUACUUCAUCAAAGGGGAAAAAAAACUACUUAAAUUGGAAACGGAACCCCGACUGAUUACAGCAGAACCUCCUUCCCCAUCAUAGAAUUCACGUCGGGUACCAAGCCAGAGCAUCUCGAGUUUUCAUAAUCGCGGAACUCCUUGACUCAACAGCAAAGACAUUCCAGCCUAAAAGCUUACCUUGCUAUUGAGGAAGCUAACAAUCGAUGCGGGAUAGAUUAAUGCUCCCUCUCACAUGCAAAAACAAAACGGACGGGAGAUAGAACAGGGAACAGAAAUGCGGAAUAAGAUGAGGGAGAACCACAUGUAGAAUUUAACAUUAAGUUGAGCAUGAAGCAGCUGAAAUUUGAAGCCAUACUACACGCACAUUACGUGUAUCAGUCAGGCCAGGAUGAACCGAUUUGCAGCAAUAAAAGUUCCUGAAUCAGGCACACCGCUGAAUUUUAACACCACUCUCCGGCCAAACCGUACGAAUCAAACAUCGAGAAGCAGAACCGAACGAGGGACGAGUUCCAGCGGAGCUCCAACUUCAACAGAAUAAUCCGAGCGCCGCGACUAACAAGGUUGACUUUAGACAGCGCCGUAACGGUCGCAUGCAACGACAAACUCAAUCCUAAACGCGUCUUCCAAAACCAAAAAAAGAAAAAGAAAAAGAAAAAAACACAGACAUCGAUCAUCGUCCCGACCGCACCGCGUCGCGAAGCACGGCCUCUGGGAAGCCAAUGCGAGUCCUCUCGCCACACUCCAAACACUACACAUGACACCGGAGACCGUGCGAGGUCAACGCGAGCAUCUAGAGAGGGAGCUGCGGGAACUUACGGGAUCGAUCAGGCGGCGGCGGCGGCGGCGGCGGCGGCGGCGGUAGGAGGAGCGGGAAGCAUGGAGCUUGGGGGAAGCGAGGAGGAGAGGAAGAAGAAGAGAUCGCGAUCCGGAGAAGGAGGAGAAGCCCGGUUCCGAAUUUAAUAACGCGUCGCCAUAGGGAGCGGAUGGCACGGUCUCACCGACAAUCGCCGCAUUCCGGGGACCACCGACGGUCCCGACCAGGUCACGGUUCGAGCUUUUAGGGUAGAACGGUCCACUUACGGACGGACCAGGCGACGGUGGCCUGUCCGCGCUCGGAUCAGUUGGCCGGAUACAAUGUGGGGUCCGCAUGUGAAUUUUUCUACGCUUACGAGAAAGUGUCGCGAUUUGCCUCUGGUCCAUAGACACGUGUCUGCUUAGAAGAGUUUCUGGACUUCGAAAGGGUUAUGAUUAUAAUUGAUAUCGACGCUACAUAUUUACCUAUAAUAAUUUUUUAAUAACUAAAAAUUCAAAUCUGAUAUAUAUGAUAAAUUUAUCUUUAAUUAAUUUAUAUUAUAUUAAAUUUAAUAUAAUAUAAAUCUCAAAUUGGUAUAAGACUUUGCAAUAUGAUAGAAAAAUCAAAUAUAUCAUAAUUUUAAGUAUACAAAUUUGAAAUCUUUGAUGACCAAAAACUUAAUUUAAAAUAAAUUUAUUACAAAUUAAUCACUUUGUGGUUUUUUUUGUAGUAUUAACUGUUAUGGUCAAUGGGCAAUUUGUCUUCAACGACAACAAAAUAUGAUUAUAGCAUUGAAAAAAACGGCGCGUGGGAUUAACGCUUGCGCACGAGCGUGCGGGGUGGUCGUUGCGCUGAAGUGGAGUAGUCAAUGGAAACUUUGUUAAUGGGGCUUCUUGUGUUGUUGGUUGGUUGACUCUCUCUCUUUCUCGAUCGCUAUCGUUCGCUUUCGCUUUGAUCCAACGGACCGGAAGAGCGCGGGUGCUUGUCGACGGACGGACCAUGACCGCUCACGGGAGAAAAGGACGGCGACGUUUCGGGGUAGUGUCUGCGCUUGACUGUUGAUGAAAUUAAACUAUCAUUUUGAUACGAAAAUACGAGAUUUAAGCAGUGGGGCAAAAAAAAAAAAAAAAUUUCCAACAGAUGAAUAACGUGCACGUUCGAUGGUUAGUUACCUUAUAGUCAACUUAUAUUUAUCUAACAACAAAUAUAUGAAAUUGCGCCUUGUAGUAGUGAAAAGAAUAGAAGGUCUUCGGAAUAUUUUGGCCAUACUCACGAAGGAAAAGACCUUAUGAAAUUGACGAAUUCAAAAUGCGAAUUGCACUCUCAUGGACGGGCAAAGCGAUUUGUUGAAAGAGUAGAUGGCAAUAUAUUUGUAAAGUUUAAUUUAAUCGAACUAUGCUAAUUAAUCUUACAAGACUCCAAGUAGACAUUGAACGGAACCGAUGAUUGACAUGACAAUAUAUUUCCUGACAGCUAGAUACAAAUGGAAAAUGAUACGCUGCGAAUCAAUGAUCUACACGUGCUUUCGAUUAUAUGAUGUUUGUAGUCAUUGCAUUUAGGUGGCAUUUUGUGAAGAAUUAAGUUUUAAUCGGCGGGAAACAAAUUAGCAAUAAUCAAAUUUUUGUUGAAUGAUGCUGACCGAUGUCGUAAUGAAAAGAGAAUUUCUCAUGAAUCAUAUGUACAAGUAGAUUCAUUUAGAUGGAUAGAGGGGGAAGGAAAAAAUACAAAUAUGUAUAAUGAAGUGUAAAUUCGUUAGUAACUAGUAAUGUGUCACAUUGAUUAAAGGGAGCACUAUGAACUAUAGUUAGUAUAGGGUCCAUCACAAUUUAAGUGCAAUCAAUUGUAGGAUUAGAUUGACCUAUCUAAGUGAAGUCUAAGUCCAUUUAUUUAAGAUAGGAUAAAGAUAAGAUAUCCUAGGAAUCACAAAUUCAAUUACUAGGGCCGUGAAUGCUCAACCGAGAACACCCCUUUUUGUUCCUCAUAUAUUAAAUUUCAUCUAACAGAAUUACUAUAUUAAAUAACUUAUUGACAUAUAAAUACUUAAGUAAAUUAUAUAGAAAAUUUAUCAAAUAACUUAAUAUAUUAACAUAAUAGGUACUUGAGGAUCUUGUUAAUGAGUGCUCAUUUAUUAACAAUACUUUAUUUGGAAUAAUGCAAUUUCCAAGCAUUAAAUGUGCAUAAGACGUGAACUACCAGUGUAUUCAAAAUUGCAAAAUUCCCUUAAUUGGUUGCAAGGCACUUGUUAACAAAUCAUCUUUGAAAAGGUACCUUCAAACUCGUUAGCAUGAGCUGAUGAAUAAUUACUAAAAAUAAUAAUAGCUCCAAUUCCACCUCUUUUUUUCUUUGACACUUUAACUAAACGAGGGACGCUCACUACUCAUGUUUCUUCUUGUAUUUCACCCACUCAUCCUAUCAUUGAGUCCAGCUCAAAAAUUUUCAAUUAGUGACGCCACUUUUAUCAUAAUUAAAUAAAAAGCACACAUUGAAUUAUUUCUCGCGGCCGUCGCCGAGGUCGCGCGACCCCGGCGACCCCAGGCGGCGGUCGCCUGAGGUCGCGCGACCCCAGGCGACCAGAUCCGGCCGCCGGAUCCGGCGGUCCGGCCGUCGGAUCCGGCCAUCCGGCCGCCGGAUCCGGCGGUCCGGCCAUCGGAUCCGGCGGUCUGGUGGCCGGAUUUCCAAAAAGAAAAUAGAAUUUUUUUUUUUGUUUUUUUAAUUUAAUAAAAGUCAUUUACAAAUGCAAAUUUUACCAAACGGUAUUUUGGCCAAAGUUGCAUUUCAAAGUAAAUUUUACCAAACGAUAUUUGCAUUUCGGAAAACCCCAUUCACCCAAAGGUAUUUGCAUUUUGGCAAAUGCAUUCCCCAAAAGCCGAACCAAACGGGCCCUAUAUAUUUAUUUGCUGAUGUUCGUUCAUGCAUCGUUAUCCUCUUAUUCAGCCAUCUGAAGAUACUUUCUGCCAAACCGCAAUUGAGAAGAGAUUUGGUUCUCACGGCUUGUGCAGAUCCACAAAACCACAUCUGCAAAGUUUCAUAUGUUUCGUGACACUCCGACAAUUCUCAAGGCGUUUAAGGGUUAAAAAAGAAGCGCUGAUUUAUAGGAAAUACCCACCUCAAUAGACAUUUAUUCAUCACUACAAAACUGGGAGAAGUGAAUAUACAACCCAUGGCAGCUUAGCUUACACUAGAACAAAUGACGAGCCGUUUUCUCAAGAACCGUGUGAACUUCCACGUGUUAACUAUAGGAGCUUGCGCUGUGUACACAAGCAGUGCAAACAAACCCAGUGGCUCUCUGCGAAAGCGUUCUUAUUUACUCCUCUGUUAGUCAUGAGAAAGAGGAAAGCAACUUUCCGUUGGACUUGCAUGGUUUUCAAUGGUCGAAUGGAAGAGAUGGUUUCUUGCUGUUAACUCUCUUCUUUCUCCACAGAAGCUUCCUCCACAGACUUCCAAUUCCCCGUUUUUUCACUGGCGUGAUGGCGAAAGAACCAACUGCUUCGUGGUCGUCUGUCAUUUUAGUUCCAUUCGAACUGAGAAGCUUUUCUGAAGGCUCCUUCAAUCCACCCGGUAGGAUAGAACAAUAGUUGUUCUCUCCUUUCAUGUCAGAGGAUUCUAGGUUCGUAACAUCGGCAUUAUCCUCUGCAAGCAUUUUGUCCAACAGAGAAGUUCGACGGGCCAUACUCUUGUUCUUGGGUGACUCUUGAAUAAUUGUCAUGGUGCCAUUGGUGGCAACGCUGGAGUUUGCAUCUGUUGGAGUAGGGAUGAUCUUAUCAAAAAGAGCAGCAUCUUUUGCUGGAGCCAAAGCUUUCAACUGCUUGCCCAAGUUCAAAAUGGUUUCUUGGCACUCUGCUAAUCUUUCAGAAGCAGCUGCGAUCUCCCAGUUCUGCCACAAAUACUCUUGCAUCAGUUAACAAAGGAUCUGAGUUUCUUGUCCCAAAGAAAAUGUUCCUCGCCUCAAUUACUCUGAACUAACAGCUUUUAAAAGAAUACAAGAUCAUUUAAUGCUGCUCCAGAAUAAAGGGCCCCUAACUCUAUGACAAUUCAUGUUCAUAUCUAGAUCACAGGUUCGACUCCCUCUGGAUAACAUUCUACACUUUUAUUACUUAGGAACGAAGUUCCAGACCAUGAGAAUAGACAUUGAAAAGUGAAGUCUAUUCUCAACAACAUUUUGCAAAAGAGGGAAUGUAAUGAGCCUUCUUAAUGCCAUUUUUAUUCCAAAUCACUUCAUUAAUGUGCAAUGUAAUGAUUCAAAGAUUGCGUGAUUAAAAGGAAAAAGAAGAAAAAAUGUGUAUCCCUGAAAAAAUGCAUGGGACGAUUAGGUAAUGAUGGUGUACUUCUUAUGAGACAGGAUGAAGAGAAACUAUCCAGCCAUCGAAAAGUUCCUCUUAAGCGACUGCUUCACAUCCAGACAAAAGGAUUCGGCAAUGGUAUCUACUUUCAGGAUUUGAGAAAGCAAACAUUGACGGUGACUUACAGUUCGUAGCUGCUUUCCUUCCUGAAUGACAUCAUUUUUCAGACUCUCAUCCUUCUUCAUACUGGAAAUGACAUGGACAAGUCCGUGAGAUUCAGAAAUACAAGUAAUUAGGAAUGUCCAUUACAUACUAUAUUCAAGCAAGGAUAUGAUCAUCGGGGCAAGAAAUCAUAAUUACCUUUCCAGCUGCAAUUGCAAGUCAAGACAUGUGGCCUCCAGUUCAUCACAGCAGCUGCUUUUGUUCUCCAGUUCCACUUCUAGUGGAGAGAACUGCUGAUGAGCCUCAUUUACUUCAACUUUGGCCAUGGCAAGCUGUCUAUCGAGAUCUUCAUAACUCAACUUGUGAUUUACAAUCUGGUCCUCAACCAAACCCUUUGAUUCUUUUAAGCUGUUCCCUUCCAUAUGCACGCUCUCAAUAGUUUCUUUGGAUGCUUCAAGUUGAUUUAUCAAAGAUUUAUUUUCACCAAUAGCAGACUGAAGCUGACCUUCCAAUCCUUCCUUUGCAGAGUCUCUGUUUUCCAGGUUUUCCUCCAAUUUUGUUUCUUCUUCUUUCUGAUCAGAUUGGAGUUCUCCCAGCUGAGCCAUAUUGUUACCACCACUUGCAAAUUUACUAGAGAUACAAAGUUGUUUGAUGGGAUUAUGCAAUUUAUCGGCAUCAGAUAGCUGAUGUAUAAUUCCUGCUUCUACUUCACCUUCACUUCGUGAUUCAUCCCAAUCUAUAUUUUGCAUAAUCUCUUCCCUCAUGCUUGAAACAUCUUGAAGGGAAAAACAAUGGUUCAGAACCCAUUCCAAAGAUGAAGCUAAUUCUUUAAAAAAAUUAGAGAGAUCAGCUUUUUCAUUCAAAAGAUCAUAACAUGUGCGGAGAAAGUGCUCUAAGACAUCAGCAAGUUCAGAAGUUUUCCAUUGAAAAACACGAACCAUGUAGCCUGUGGGUGUUUCUGAACUCUUAUUAGAAGAAAUAUUCCUUUCUUUCUUCAAAGAAAUAUCUGGAUCCUCGUAGUUUUGAUGAGGAAGACUAAUACUCUCCAUAAGCUCAAUUAUUUUAGACAUUGACUUGCUCAAAUCUGGCUUUACCCUCUGAUUGCUCUUUUCCAUUGACAACAAAUCAGGGUGAACAAUUUUAUGAGAUAACCCCAACCUCGAAGAACUAAUAGGAGGCUUAGAUAAGUUAUUCUCAUUGCUACUUGCCCUUUCCUUUGUAUCUCCAAACUUUCUGGGGUUUUGACGGUGCACAUGUGCCAAAGCAAUUCUAACAUGCUCAAGUAUUUCAUCCAGGUGUCUUCCAGUGGAAUGAUGUUGCUCCAGAAUCACUUUCAAUAUCUUUUGAAGCCAUUCAGGGAUGUCAACGAGGAUUGUACCAUAGGCAUUGGCUUCCUGGUCUACCGGACAGAAGCCAGAUUUACCAUUUGUCUCUGGGGAGUGAGCAAGUGCACUAGCUUGCUGAGAAAGCGUGUCAUAAUUUUUUGAUGUAUCAUCUGCAGAGACGAUAGCUAACUUUUCCAUUUCGACAAAGUCGUCCAUUAAGCUGAUGUCAGAAGCUCCAAUUGUUUUGGAAGAUAAUGACCGCCUCUGUUUCUCAUUACGGAAAUUCUCCAACUCUGAAAUUAGAGCUGUUGCCCACGAUUCAGCACAACUUACUUUAUCAUCACUGCCAAUAUCAGAUACUGAUGCCAGAGAUGGUUCAUGUGACAAAUGAAUGGUCCUUGUCACCUCCACACCCUUCUGACCUUGUAGCGGUCCUUCAACCUGUGAAUCAAUCUGCGAUAAUUUGGAGCCCGUGUGAGCAUUCAGGACCCUAGAGAUAUGGAGUUCCCUUUCUUUCUUACUUAGAGCUUCUUUGAGAGCUUUGCUCUCUUCCUCCAUGACAAUUAACUGCUCUGUGAGAAUGCUGAUUCUCGUACUAGGUGUCUCAGGAUAAUUUUCAACGGCGAAGUCAGACAUGGAACCUAUUUGCCCACUAUGUAUUUUCCUCAUCUGGGCUGAAUCCCUUCCAAGCAUGUCAACUUCAUUUUUCAUUUUAGCUACGGCUGCCGGUCCCGGUAACCUUUUUCGAACUAAUAGACGUAACCUCUGACAUUCUGAUUCUAACUUUGCGAUUUUCUUCACACUCUCUAGGUGUUGCUUGUGAGACACAUCAGCUGUCCUACGGUUGAACUCUCUCUCCUCAUUCCGAAUCUCAAGCUCCUUCUCAAGAACACGGACCUCAUAUUUGAGAGAAGCAUUAUCUUUCUCAGUGGAUUCAAGUCUAGCCAUUAGGCUACCAAUAUCUGCCUCAGCCCGCUUUCGCUGUUUAUUUAAGUCUUCAACCAAUUUUUCCUUGGAUGCUAGAGAUUUACUGAGAUGAGUAUUCUCAAUGCCCAUCUUGGCAAGCCUUUUAUUUGUUUCUUCUAAUUUCCCCUCCAAAACUACUUGGGACUUUUCAAACUCCUUUGACGUCUUCAUAACAGUAUCGUGAAUUCUUUUCUCCUGCUCUUCUCUGACAAAAUGCAGUUGCUGCAUACAUUCUUUCAGAGCUGCAUCAAGAUGUGUGAGUCUCUCUUCAGCAGCUAGUCUCUCCUUCAACGAUUCCUCUAGGCUAUUUUUUAGAGAAACCACUUCAGUUUCCAUUUGCUCCCAUCCUAUUCAGAUAAUGAAUUUAACAAUGAGUAGAUUGUAGGUGGAGAGUUAAAAAUGAACAGAAGGAAUAGAAAUAUCCAAGCAGAUAUUCUGUCAUAUAAAAUAGUUGAGAAGGGAAAGGAACUACCUGCAAUAGCUUCUUGGGCCAUCUUUUCAUGUUUCUUUACAAGCUCGUCUUUGGUAUUACAUUCGGAAAGAACAUAAGAAAGCUUAUCAGUCAAAUGUUUCAAUUCUUUCUCCAACUCUGCUUUAUCAGUUGAAGCUGCCUCUACCUGUCAGGUGAAAUUAAUUUUUACGCAUCGAUCAAAGAUAUAUAAUUUACACACAUCUAGCAUAUGCACCCACAAUUGUACCACAGACCUAUACAUGUGUGUGUGUGUGUGAGAGAGAGAGAGAGAGAGAGAGAGAGAGAGAGAGAGAGAGAGGAGGAGCAGGGGGAGCAGCUACUAAGUUUAAGAUUACUGUCUGAGGGCUUCAACAAUUCACAGAGAUCACACUACAAGAAGUUAAUUGUCUAUCUCUGUGUGAAAUUCACUUUCAGAUGCAUGCUAUAUAGCUAUAAGUUUGAUUAUACGCAUCCAUUUUAUUGUUGAGUUAUAUCUGGAAAGUGAUUUCCAGCAUGGUACACACCUAUAUGAAAGAGAUGCUGUAUGUUCUCCUAAGGUUAUAACAUUUUUCCAUUGAAGGAAGACCUUGCACAAUAGAUUAACAGAUCGUACAUGCAAUUUCCUCAAGAUGCGGCUCCUGAAGAAGAACACAACUUUCUGGUCUGUCCUGUACAAGUUCAUUGUCAUUCAUAAACCAAUUGCUUACCCUUUUCCCUUUCAUUUAGAAGCCGGACUUGAAAGUUUAGAGUAAAGCAGCGGGUAAGGAGGUCUUUGUUUAGUGGACAACCAAGCUGUAGUCUUACAAGAGAUGCAGGUCAUUCACUUGAUUAAAUGAUGCACACUAGAAAGCAGUUAAACUUGUAAAUAACCUUAAUGGCGAUAUUAUCAAGCAUUGCCACCCCUUAUCUCAUUAAAAAAUAAGAAUCUGACAACUCAGAUGCAUGUGAUACAGAAUUCUGUAUGCAAACAAACCAAAAAAAUGACAAUGUACCCAGACUUCUAUUUUGUGUAGUUUGGCCAACUGUUUUUUAUUGUAAGUUUCUCACAUCGCGAGGGGCAAGUUACAAAAGAUGGUCUUGACAGUUGCCUCCACUCUGCUUUAAGUACCCAUUAGACAUGAAUACCCCAUCCCUGCCUCCUUAGGAUUGCACCAAGCAAACUUCCGUUUGAAAAAAUGGUCUAUUGCUCAUUAUGUGACUAGCCAUAGGGGGGUGCAAAUAACAUCAUCAGGAAAUUAUAACAAUUACCUGCUGCUCCUCGUUUGCCUUUAGGGGAAGCUCAACUUUAUCAUUUGCAAUGGUCUUCUCUGCAGAUUUCUUUUUCCAAAGCCAUGCUUUAUGAUCCAUCACUUCACAAAAAUGUAUGUCGGAAAGCACAUCAAACAAGACAAGUUACGUGUAAAGGCAAGUGGAAAAAGAAGAAAUUUUUUUGCAUGAAGUCAGAAGCUAUAAGUCAAUUCUAAUCCAGGAAAUACAGCUGAAUCAGACAUAAAGUCUCUAGCUUGUUGUGUGCAACCAUCGACAAUUCACAGCUUCACAUGAAAGUAUAUCAGGGAUCUGUCAAACGAAAUACUUAAAGCGACCACAUAAAAUUAUGCGUCGUAAACAAUGCAUUCCCUAAAAAGAAGAUAGAGAAAAGGCACAGAUGAAUUGCUAAAUACUAAAAUCGCUUCAGAUAAAGUUCAGAACAAUAGGAAAAAAAAGGCUUUUGCAUUUGUGCACUAUAGAUUCUUAUGCAUCAGUUCAUCCUUGAUUGAACAUUAUGGGGCAUUUUAAUAUGUAAAAUACCCUUGUUAUCAAUUGUCAUCAACUGUUAAUUUCAGCGUCUGCCUGCACAUAGGAAUUAAUCAUACAGUAUCGCAUUGGGACACCAUCAUAUCCCACUCUCAAGCAUGUACCUACCGAAGCAAGGGUUGUGAUGGUAAAUCGGUAAAAAAGGCAUCAUAAUGAAACUUUGUACUACAUCAAAGGAGAAAGAAAAAAAAAACUACUUAAAUUGGAAAUGGACCCCCGACAGAUUACAGCAGAACCUCCUUCCCCAUCAGAGAAUUCACGUCGGGUACCAAGCCAGAGCAUCUCGAGUUUUCAUAAUCACGGAACUCCUUAACUCAACAGCAAAGACAUUCCAGCCUAAAAGCUUACCUUGCCAUUGAGGAAGCUAACAAUCGAUGCGGGAUAGAUUAAUGCUCCCUCUCACAUGCAAAAACAAAACGGACGGGAAAUAGAACAGGGAGCCGAAAAUGCAGAAUAAGAUGAGGGAGAACCACAUGUAGAAUUUAACAUUAAUUUGAGCAUGAAGAAGCUGAAAUUUGAAGCCCCACUACACGCACAUUAUGUGUAUCAGUCAAGCCGGGAUUAACCGAUUUGCAGCAAUAAAAGUCUCUGAAUCAGGCACACCGCUGAAUUUUAACACCAGCCUCCGGCCAAACCGUAUGAAUCAAACAUCGAGAAGCAGAACCGAGCGAAGGACGAGUUCCGCCAGAGCUCCAACUUCAAUAGAAAAAUCCCAGCGCCGUGACGAACAAGGUUGACUUUAGACAGCGCCGUAACGGUCGCAUGCAACGACAACCUCAAUCCUAAACGCGACUUCCAAAACCAAAAAAAAAAAAAAAAAGAGAGAACAAGAAAAAGGAAAAAACACAGACAUCGGUCAUCGUCCCGACCGCACCGCGUCGCGAAGCACGGCCUCCGGGCAGCCAAUGCGAGUCCUCUCGCGACGCUCCAAACACUACACAUGACACCGGAGACCGUGCGAGGUCAACGCGAGCAUCUAGAGAGGGAGCUGCGGGAACUUACGGGAUCGAUCAGGAGGCGGCGGAGGCGGCGGCGGCGGCGGUAGGAGGAGCGGGAAGCAUGGAGCUCGGGGGAAGCGAGGAGAAGAAGAAGAGAAGAAGAAGAAGAAGAAGAAGAGAUCGCGAUCCGGAGAAGGAGGAGAAGCCCGGUUCCGAAUUUAAUAACACGUCGCCGUAGGGAGCGGGUGGCGCGAUCUCACCGACAAUCACCGCGAGCGGUUGCAGACAAUCGACUCCACGUCGCCGCCGAGGAGUAGCUGUGGAGUAAGAACUCAACUAAAGCGAAAACCAGAAACUCCGAAAGAGAGAGAGAGAGAGAGAGAGAGAGAGAGAGAGAGGAGGUGACGUGGAGCUGACUGAACUGCAACUAGAGAGAGAGAGGGAAAGUGAGAGACUGAGAGUGAGGGUGAUGGGAGGAUCACAGGAGACGCGAGUACGGCCUCUUUUUGGGACAAUCUGGACAGCGUUCGGGGACCACCGGCGGUCCCGACGGGGCCGCGGUUCCAGCUUUUAGGGUCGAACUGUCCACGUACGGACCGACCAGGCGACGGUGGCCUCUCCGUUCGAGAUUACUGUCUGUGCUCGGCCCGGUUGGCCGGAUUCGAUGUGGGGUCCACAUGUGAAUUUUUCUACGCUUACGAGAAAGUGUCGCCAUUUGCCCCUGGUCCGUAGACACGUGUUUGCUUAGAAGAGUUUCUUAGACUUCGAGAGGUUUAUGAUUAGGAUUGAUAUUGACAUAUUGAUCCAAAAGAAAAAUCUUUGACAAUUAAGAAUGUUAAUGUAAUUUCAAUUAAUUCAUAUUAAAUUUGAUUAAUACCACGAAUGAAUUGUAAAAUUCUAAGUUGGUAUCAUAUGAUAAUAAAAUCACAAAUAUAUUAUAAUUUCAAUUAUACACAGUUGAAAUUUUGAUGAUCAAAAAAUUAAUUUAAAAUAAAUUUAUUACAAAUUAAUCACUUUGUGGUUUUUUGUUAGUAUUAACUGUUAUGGUCAAUGGGCAAUUUGUCUUUGGUAACAACAAAAUAUGAUUAUGGAACUAAAAACAAAUGGCGCGUGGGAUUAACGGUUGUGCAUGCGCGUGCGGGGUGGUCCUUGCGCUGAAGUGGAGUAGUCAAUUCCAACUUGUAAGGGGGAGGUGAGGAGUUCAAAUCCCCACCUUCUCAGGGGGGGAUGAGGGUAGGGAUGCGUAAGUUUCGAGAGUGGGUUGCGACUCCCACGCCCUGCAUGAGGCAGGACACAAGUCUGCGAGUGAGUGUAGAGUAGGAAUAGAGUAGGACUGAAAAAAAAAAAACAAAAAAAAAAAAUGGAAACUUUGUUAAAGUUCUGUUGGGCCUUCUUGUGUUGUUGGUUGGUUGUCUCUCUCUCUCUCUCGAUCGCUAUCGUUCGCUUUUGCUUUGAUCCAACGGACCGGAAGAGCGCGGGCACUUGUCGACGGACCAUGACCUUUCACGGGAGAAAAGGACGGCGACGUUUCGGAGUAGUGUCUGAGCUUGACUGUUGAUGAAAUUAAGCUAUCAUUUUGAUACGAAAAUACAAAAUUUAAGUAGUGGGGCAAAAAAAAAAUUAAAUUUCCGACGGAUGAAUAACGUGCACGUUCGAUGGUUAGUAACCUUACAGUCAACUUAUAUUUAUCUAACAAGAAAUACACGAAAUUGCGCCUUGUAGUAGUGAAAAUAAUAGAAGGUCUUUGGACUGUUUUGGUCACACUAUGAAGGAUAGUCAACUUAUAUUUAUCUAACAAGAAAUACACGAAAUUGCGCCUUGUAGUAGUGAAAAUAAUAGAAGGUCUUUGGUCUGUUUUGAUCACACUCACGAAGGAAAAGACCUUAUGAAAUUGACGAAUUCAAAAUGCGAAUUGCACUUGCAUGGAUAGGUCAAAGCAUUUUUGCUGAAAGAGUAGAUGGUAAUAUAUUUGUAAAGCUUAAUUUAAUCGAACUAUGCUAAUUAAUCUUACAAGACUACAAGUAGACAUUGAAUGGAAUCGAUGAUUGACAUGACAAUAUAUUUCCUGAUAGCUAGAUACAAAUGGAAAAUGAUACGCUUGCGAAUCAUUGAUCUAUGCAUGCUUUCAAUUAUGUGAUGUCUAUAGUCAUUGCAUUUAGGUGGCAUUUGAUGAAGAAUCAAAUUUUGAUUGGUGAGAAACAGAUUGACAAUAAUCAAAUUUUCGCCGAAUGAUGCUGACCUAUGCCGUAAUGAAAAGAGAAUUUCUCAUGAAUCGUAUAUAGACAAGUAGAUUCGUUUAGAUGGAUAGAGGGGGAAGAAAAAAAAUACAAAUAUGUAUAAUGAAGUGUAAAUUCGUCAGUAACUAAAUACUUGUUUUUUUUUUUAGUAACAUGUCACAUUGAUUAAAGGGAGCACUAUGAACUAUAGUUAGUAUAGGGUCCAUCACAAUUUAAGUGCAAUCAAUGGUAGGAUUAGAUCGACCUAUCUAAGUGAAGUCUAAAUCUAUUUAUUUAAGAUAGGAUAAAAAUAAGAUAUCCCAGGAAUCUCAAUUUCAAUUACUAGGGCCGUGAAUGCUCAACUGAGAACACCCCUUUUUGUUCCUCAUAUAUUAAAAUUCAUCUAAAGAAAUUACUAUAUUAAAUAACUUAUUGACAUAUAAAUGCAUAAGUAAAUUAUAUAUAAAAUUUAUCAGAUAACUCAAUAUAUUAACAUAAUAGACACUUGUAGAUAUUGUUAAUGAGUACUCAUUUAUUAACAAUACUUGAUUUGGAAUAAUGCAAUUUCCAAGCAUUAAAUGUGCUUGUCAGGGCAUUCAAAACUGCAAAAUUCCCUUAAUUGGUUGCAAGGUACUCGUUAACAAAAUAAUCUUUGAAAAGGUACCUUCAAACUCGUUAGCAUGAGCCGAUGAAUAAUUACUAAAAAUAAUAAUAGCUCCAAUUCCACCUCUAUUUUUUUCUUUGACACUUUAACUAAACGAGGGAUGCUCACAACUCAUGAUUCUUCUUGUAUUUCAUCCGCUCAUCCUAUCAUUGAGUCCAGCUCAAAAGUUUCCAAUUAGUGACGCCACUUUUAUCAUAAUUAAAUAAAAAGCAUACCCUGAAUUGUUUGUAGUACGGUCCACACUCGACAUUGUGGUCACUGCUAAUUCUUGACCAAUUUGUCCCUAAGAGAAUCAAUAAUUCAACGGAUAGACUGUCAGUGCCAUUCACUUCACGUCACGUGUCGUCGUUCUCUAGUGCCUACCCACUUUGUACCUGUGAAUUAAGAAGACCAAAAAAAACUCGAAAAAGACAAUACCCACUAGAAACUACUAUCGAUUCAUCAAAUAUAAUAAAAAAAAGGCGGCAUGAUCAAAGAAUGGACGCUGAAUCCUUAUUUUUAUUUUUUAAUAUUUUCAAUUUCGAACAUUCUGUUGUAAAGCAUCGCUGCUCAUCGUUCCAUACAAUGUUCAAUUAUUUAUAAAGCUGGGAUGGCUGUCAACCACCCCGAAUUGCAAAAAGAGGACCACCAUUCAACUAAAGAUCUCCCAUAAAUUAGCCUCCUCCUCAUCAUUCCCUUCUCUCUGUUUUAUUCAGUCUGUUGUUUACGAUAUGUCGAUUUGAAUAGAUAGGUCGGUCCAAAAUGGGAGUUAGGAAUGUGCAAGCUUUACUUAUAUUAAUAAUUCGCUGUGGUAAGGUGGCGCACUCGUGAAGCAAUCCCCACACCCCAACUACCGCCCCCGGAAUUAAAUGGAGAACGUGAAAGGUGUCGAGAUGGACGCGAUGAUCGUACACCAAUCAUGAUGUUCGGCGGUCUCUUGUCUGCUUUAAUUCAGUGCGACUUUUGGGUCAGUGACAGCCUCGCUUUAACCUCGCCUUAGUUGAUUGAGAUAGCCUCGUUGCGUCGCUCAAUUAAUAAGGGCUUUUUGUCAAAUGACUGAUGAUGCCACUAAAAAUUUCAAAUCAGUAUCCUCACGACCCAUUCGUCGACAACUAUUUUUCAUUUUACCCAAAAAAAAAAAAAAGUGUCUCGUAUAUAUGAAAAUUAAUUUUUGUCUUGUGAAAAAAACUCAAGUUGGUAUUCCUAACCAAUAUUUGCCCCCUUUAUCCCAUUAAAAGGCAAAUAUGUUAACAUAGGUUGAUUUUCCAUAUUGAAUUCGCCAUUCUUUGCAUUAGAUUUUAUGUGUGCAUUUUAAUGAGAUAUUGAACUUAAAUGCUGAUGGGGUAGAUUUGGGUCGGGAGUACGGAAUUUUUUGCGAGAUGAUAUUAAUAUGUCAAGGGCUAUCAAUUGUCAAAUUGAUUUUCAGAUGAAAAUUAAUUUGGAGUAGUGAUAUAAUAAGGAUAUUGGUUUUGAGAUUUUUUUUUUUCAAGUUAUUUUAAAUGAAUUUUAAAUGUGGAAAAUAUAUUCCCCGAGGAGUUAUUGCUAAUGAGUGCGUUUGACGUGCAGGGCGAUACCAUAAUGGCUAUGCGGGUCAUUGUCACACAACUCAUUUGAUGUGGCCUGACCUGAACAAGCCAACAUAAUCCUAGUAAUUACUUAAAAUUGACGCUUUUUUCUUUUCCUUUUUCUUCUAAAUGGUAAGAUAGAGUUUGGAUUAGUUUUCGUGAAUCUCGAUCAGUCCUUCUCCUCAAGACAUUUUAAGGGUGCCCUCCUUCACAUUGACUUGGUGUUUUCGAGAAUUUACUUCUCAAGUGCUCCCAACAACACCACCAAAAAAGUUAAGCUCAUACCUAAAUUUUGUAAAAACGAUCAUGUUAAUGAGUGCUCGGCAUACUUAAUUUGGGAUAAUUUGAUUUUCAAAGUAUCGAUUUCCAAAAAAAUUGUGGCUUAACAAAUGUCCUUGAGGUGCCCCUAAUAAAUUCCUUUUAAACAAUGCAUGCUGAACAAAAUGUUGAUUGACCGACCAAAUAAAAAAAAAAAAGAACAAAAUGUUGAUUGGACAUAUUCGAGACGAGAAUCGGAGUCCAGACCUCCGACCAGAAUAAACCAGAAGCAAUCAAUUGCACAUUCGAGGCGAUUUCACGACGCGAUAGACAAAGAAAGAAAGGGGGUUAGUUGCAAAAAUUGACAGCAUAAGGGCCAGGUUGUAAUUGACGCUAAGCAUCGUGAUCUAAUUGAAAAAAAGGUAAAAAAAAGUAAGAGAUAUGCAUAGAAUUGGGCUCGCUCCUCGGCCCAUUAUUAUCUUUUCAAGAAGAACAAAUUGGUCUCCGAACGGGAAAAGCCCACGGCCCAUCUGGCAUCCGUCUCCAUCUUCCUCGCUGGGCGAUCCUCUCUCCGGUUCGAACCGCCGCGACUCUCUGGUGUUCGAGCGCCGUCUCCCGGCGGCAAAUCUCGACCUCGCCCGAUCAUCGCCGGCGGCAUUGAUCGUCUUCUCUCCGCAGCGAUGGUGCAGAAGCAGCACCACAAGUCCAACGCCAAGAAACAGCCUCACGUAAGCGAUUUCCUUCGCUACUUAUGGUUGCAAUUUCCAUCUAUUUGGGCACUCGUGACUAUUGCUUGCUCUUCGAUGAGGCGGCGUGUUUUGUCUCCAAAGAAGAAAUUCGAAAUUUUAAUUGCUUCUAUGAUCUGUUUGUUGCGGCGAGGCCUCUGAAUUGAGCUUUGGUGGACGUGCUUUUGGCUAAGUUCCUGGUUGAAGUGUUCGUCGGUGUUUGUUCUCGGAAUCUGAGUGGACGUGAAUGCGGUAUGCGUUGAUGAACAGGUUAAAAAGCAGGGGAAGCAAGCGGAUAACACGCAGUUCCGAGCUCAGCUUGAUGCUCUGGGCCUGAAAAUUGUCCAGGUGACUGCAGAUGGUAAUUGCUUUUUCAGGUCUGUGUUCCUUGUUAGAAAAAGAUCACCGUAUUGUUCAUGAUUUUGUUGAAUGUUUCCAGGGUUUGAUUUGUUUUGUUAGAUAACAGUAUUCCUCUCUGUUUUGGAAGAUUUAUGGUACGCUCAUUGCAUUACCACUCUGUCGUCAGGACACAACACACAGUGCAUUUUAUGGUACACUGGUUCUGGAACACUAUCAUCGACGUACUAGAAAUUCCUCAGCUGAAAAAAUUAUUGCAAUUCGUAUACUGUAUCAUUCUGCUUGAGACACUGUAUCUAAAAAUAUAUAUUGAAGAAGAGCUCUAUUUGUCAGGGAAUGUAGCUCUUUUAACUUAGUCUCGAGGAUAUUAGAUUGACUCUUCCGUUAUCCAACUAAGUAACUUUGUAAAUUUCUAUCACUAUUGUAUUGCUAUUGUACAACGCCUAGAGAAACUAACCAUGUGCCUCAUUCCUGUUUUCAUUCCACAUAUUUGAAUUAUCCAUCCUCCAGGUAAUCUUACAGCCUUGUGUGGAGCUUUUGUUUAUAGAAACACCUUUGCUAUGGUUGGAAUUUUCAUAGUUGUCCACUCUUGUUAAUCAGGGCCCUUGCAGAUCAGUUGGAAGGCAAUGAAGAAGAACAUGGGAAGUACCGUAGUAUGGUUGUUCAGUACAUAUUGGUAUGUGGAGUGCAGAUUUCUCUUUUUCAAACUGUAGGAAUUAUGUUUUGGGGGGGGGGGGUUUACAUGGUGAUGUAGUCCUCAGUGAUCCGAAUCUAAACUUUAUUUGGUGCAUUUUGUUCUUGAACUUUUCUGUAAGUAUUGAUGGAUCUCACACUUACAUAGACACUGAAAUAGCAUGCCUUUGGAAGAAAAAACCAAGUUAAAAUGGGUAUUAUACAUUGAAGCAUACAUUUCUGCUGCCACUGGUUAUUCCUGGUGAUAUUCAGCUCACAGUCACAGUUGCAUAGAGCUAUAACAACACAAGGAUCACCCGAGCAAUUUGACAUUCUUAUUUUACUAGAGAGGAAAACCUUCUGAGUGUUAACCGUGAUUUGGAUGGUGUAUCUUGGCCUAAACUGACAGGUGCAGGAGGAAGCUGGACUUUAUAGUUACCCGCAUUGUUCUAGCCUACAGGAAUGUGCAGUUGCUACUUUAGGGUGCCAUUAUUAUGCAAACCGACAUAUUUUUGGAGGAGAUAUUGAGAAAAUAAAAAUUUAGAGAAUUGAUACUAAAGUAAAAUAAGUCAACUUUUUACCAUGCAUGAUAAAACUUUAAUGUUUUGCAAUGGCACAAAUUGAUAGUCUUGCUUGUUUCAAGUUUCAACAGAAUCCUUUAUUUUCAUUUGUUUUUUCUCAUAGUGAUGUGUUUAAGGAAAUAAAAUCCUCAUCUGAAGAAUGGACCUGAUAUAUGCAUCUAAGAUGGGAAUUGUUAAUGACAGAAAAAUCGUGAAAUGUUUGAACCAUUUAUUGAGGAUGAUGCGCCAUUUGAGGAGUAUUGCAAAACCAUGGACAAUGAUGGCACAUGGGCUGGUCAUAUGGAAUUGCAAGCAGCUUCUCUUGUUACACGGAGUAACAUUUGCAUUCAUCGGGUAAGACUGACAAUGAAGUCAUCAACCAUCACCUAUGUGAAGUUUUGUUGGUUACAGUCUUUUCAUUCCUUCGGGAGAAACNNNNNNNNNNNNNNNNNNNNNNNNNNNNNNNNNNNNNNNNNNNNNNNNNNNNNNNNNNNNNNNNNNNNNNNNNNNNNNNNNNNNNNNNNNNNNNNNNNNNAGAAUUCGAUGACCAUUGAAGAACCCAUGAUUAUUGGUUUCCAGAUUCAUUCUCCACUUAAUCAUAUAACGGCUUCUUCCACAAUAUGGCCCUCCUUUAACUGAGAAUUUAUUCCCCCAUCAUUGUUUAGAUCAAAAGACCACUUAGGAUGUUGUUCUCAUAAUGGUUAUAGCUUGUUCUUUUCUGUCUGGUUAUAAUUUGUUACUCUUUAGACUGAAAAAUUGACUCAUCCGAAGCGCAAUGAUAUCCGGCAUGUCUCGCAAUGUCUAUUGUGGCGAAAGCAUGUGGAAGGACCAUUGAUAGUGAUGUGCAAAAGAUUUUUUCGGAGAUAUAUUGCACCUUUUAGCACGAGGAAAUCCGAUGGGUGCAUAUAAUCCUAAUUCAAAGAAGACUUAAUAUAUUGAACUUGUUACAAAAUUGCUGGCUUUUUGAGUGUUCUAUAUGUCCUUGAUGAAUCUACAUAGCACUAAUUAGUUUUGAUACAUGCUGUGCAUGCAAAUAUCUGUUUGUUGACGCCAAAUGGAACAAUUUAUCACACUCCUUACUUGAUGCAGAACAUGUCACCUCGGUGGUACAUACGCAAUUUUGAUCAGCCUGGUGCUCGUAUGAUCCAUUUGUGAGUUUUCUGAAUAUAGAGACUGAUGCUUUUUUUGCUAAGCAAGUGCUCAAAUACUGGGAUGAGAUUUGGCUCUGUUUGUAUACACUUAAAUAAAUGACCUUUUCUUACGUUUUACUUUCCCUCAAAAGAUUUGAAAAUAAAACAAUGUUUUUAUUUUUUAAGUGAUUAUGAAAAGAUUAUAUAUUUCUCCUGGUCAAGUUUGUUUAUUUUUAAAAGGUUUUAGGUGUUUCGAGUUUCAUAAAAGUCAAAUUGCAAGAGCUGCAAGAUCUUUUUUUUUUUUAAAAACGAAAGCUAUAAGUACAAGUCGUCCAAACAAACCAGCUCAUUACACAAAAGAAGGUACUGCAGCUUGUUCAGGGAGACUGCUGAUUUGUGAAAUUAUUUUAGCAUGCAAGGACAACAUCUCAUAAGUUGCAGAUCCGAGUGUAGUUGCGGUGUUGUUAGAUUUAACGAUGGAAGUUCUUUUGCUAGUUUGGGAGACGUUUUGGUGUGGUUGGAGAGGGAUAAAUUACUGGCUAAGCAUAUGUGGUAGGAGACCAAAAUGUCACUAUAGCUUUUGUUUCUUCGAUAAAUUUUUUUAUUGAAAUUCCCAUUCAUAAUCCUUCAAUGAAUGGCAUCCCUUAAUAUUCUAAGUUAAGAUGGAUUGGAUCUGUCUAGGUAGUAGCCAUCGUGACCUUGGAUUGUCAUGAGGAUCACAAAAUUUAGUGGAUAUAUGAUAUUCCAUACUUUACUAUCUUCGAUAGGUGUCGUCAUGUGAAACAAGUAAGCAUAAAAAAUGUGCGUUGUGCCAUUAUUGUUUUUGUGGAUAGGGAAAAUCUUAUGUUCUUUUUGUACUGAUGGUGUUUCAUUAUUUGAACUUAUAUAUUUUGCUUCGCUUUAUCAGAUCUUAUCAUGAUGAGGAACAUUACAACAGGAUGAGGUUGAAGGAAGACACUGGAGAUGGGCCAGCUAGGCCAAUUACAAUCAAGGUUGCUACUGGAAUUUAAUUCUAAUUUACUUAGUUAGUAGGGAAGUUGGACAAAUUGUGAAUUUAAGUAUGUGAUUUGAUAAUUUCUUUUGCUGAAAGGUCGAUUCUAGUCUCUCAUCAUCAUCUCGCCAAGCAAAAGCUGGGUCAAAGAAGUCUAAAGCAGGAGCUGGUAAGGAUAUUACUGAUGCUGUAUCCAUCAAGCUAGUCAUGGCUGGAAGUGGUUGUGAGAACAUUGAGAAAGUUGAGCAGGUUAUGUCCUCGCUUCUUCUGCUCGCUUGUUUGCAUUAAAUGCUUUCCUCUCAUUUGCUGGGUGUCUAGAAUUAGAAUACAAGACCUUUCUGUGGCUUCUGUGUGACAUGCGAUACUUUUACAGACAUUGCUGCAAAUGUAUGGGGAUGUUGAUGCUGCCAUAGAGUAUUUGAUAGCAGAAAAAGGUAUUGAAGAUUUUUCAGAGGAAGCUGUCCAGUCUCCCUGCAAUGCAGAUGCUUCUCAUGGUAAUGGCUGGUCAGUAUUUAUCUCUCUAGAUUUUCUUUAAUAAUUUAACUUCGCAGUUUCAGAGAUACCAUGUUAAGCUUCACGAGAAGAUUGUUUGGAGUCAUUUUGAUGCAACUGGUAGAAUUAGCGUGCUUUGUCUUGUCAACCAUAGAUUUUUGGGGUAGUCAAACAUGUUACACCCAAAACUAUUUCAUAAUUCUUUGCGGUGUUUAGGUGAUGAUGCCAGUGGAAAUUCUGAGGAACAGAGAGAGGAACCUGUGGAAGAGGCCAAUAAAGAAAAUCCACCUAGCAAUAGCGCUAAACGGACUCAUGAUGAUGGCAGUGCCCAGCAAGAAGACAAGGUUUCCACAAAAGACGACUAUGUUACCUCUUUUACCAUUUUGGUUUUAGCUCAAACGUGAGAACUGUUGGUGGUGCGCUCCUUCAUUUUUAUUUGCUUGUUUUAUCUUAUAAUGCAGAAAAUUCCAAGAAACAAGAAUUGUCCAUGUGGUUCAAAAAAGAAAUACAAGUCCUGUUGCGGGUCAGGGACAGGGAAAGUCUCUGCAAUUUCCAAGCAUUUCUCAUUCUCUCAGUGCUUUAUAUGUCAAGUUAUAGUUUAAGCUUGUCUUUUGUUGAAGUACCUUUCCUGUUUCCGUGUGAUUCGAGUUCAUAUGUAUCUUGAAAUUAUGGCUUAUGUAUCCAAAAUUGUAUUGUACUUAACUUCAAGUCUGGACUAUUUUCUCACUCCUAUGCUUUGUCGAAUAAUGGGUUCACUUUGGGAAAAUGUUCAUACAUGGGUAAUAUAAAUUUGUACUUACAAGAACAAAGACAGCACUGAAGAAUUCUCCUUUUUUAUGUGUAAACGUUGUUUUGCAGUAAUCAAGCUCUUGAAUCCAGAAAAGGUAGAAAGGAAAAGAAGCGAGGCAAGAGAGGGUCUGACACAUCUGCACUUUCUAGCGGAUCUGAUGGAGGGCCACCUGAUAUGGGGGCUCUUUGUAUCUGAUCUUUUGUUAAAGUAUGUGCGCCAUCAUCUAUUGAAUUUCAGAUAUCAGUACGCUGUCUUUCAAAUAUUUGAUUAGACACAAAUUUUUUUCUACUUCCAUUAGCAUGAAUUCAAUGCAUGCAUCUCUUUUUUGAUCUUUGGGAUAAGUGCACUUUCUAGUUUUCUACCUGUUGCCAACUUUAGAAAAAUCUAUAGGUACAAAAUUUUCAAUGGUGUUAUUUUCCUUGGAUAGUUGGAGAUUCUUUGCACACAUAACUGUUGUGCAUGCAUAUAACACCUACCCUCAUAACUGUUGUGCAUGCAUAUAACACCUACCCUGGUAGAUUUGUUGGCAUUGGCAUAGGUGAGUUUGGUGAGAAGUCCAAGGGGGAAGGAGAUAAGGAAAUUCAGUUAUUGCUGUCCCUGGGCUAAACCUUUUCGUGAAUAUAUUAGAGACAUCACAUGAAUUUGACAAGUGAUGGUUUAAUUUCUAAAUUCCCUUCCAAAGUGAUGGUUUUGUUGUAACCGUAGUUUGGGGUUCCCAUGAAGAUGUCAUUCCUUUUCCUUUUAUUUCUUUGACAAAAAAGGCACUAAGCAUUUAUGCACACUUCUUCUUGUAAUUGAUAAAAGACGGUAAGAUGCAAAAUGCACUCAGGCUCCAUCUAUAAGGAACCAAAUGCAAUCCAUCUGCAGUUGGAGAUGACACAGAUAGUACAUAUGCUAGUUUUUCCAUUCAAAUUGGUGCAGAUUUCUAAAAUUAAACAACUUUGACUGACAAUUAUCUAUGGUUAUUUUGGCAAAAAAGUAGUAUAGAUCUUUUGUUGGUUUUCAUUGGUUGAUAUAUCAUCAUAACAUCAUUUAGACGAAUUAAGUCUCCAAAGCUCCUAAGUGAUGGAUAGUGUGUAAAGACCAUGAGCACCUUCGAAGUUUUAGUAGUAGAUUUUCCAAUAAUCCCACAAUAAUCCUGAAUCUUUUUUUAUUGUUUUUGUGGAAUUGCGUUGUGUCAGAUGGGGCUUGUCCAGUUCUCAAGAAUCACAACAAUCUUGCGGCUUCGUCAUUGCAUCCAUGAGGGAGUGGGGAGAGAAUCGAAUUGUGAGCAGGAAACUGAUGCUGAAAGAAGUCUAUAACUUGAGCUUCUUCCCGGAGCAACUUAUGGGGUUACUCAUUAUUUUUUCUUGUCUUGCCUAAAUAUAAAUCUUUUCAUUCUCUAUUAGCUUGAACAUAGAGCACAUGUUAGUCUGAGGUUAUCUUCUGUUUUUAAAGGCUGGUACCUUACUAGUCUUGUAUACUACCUUGUCAUACCUUGUCCCUAAAUGGGGAAAUAAAAGAUCCUUACUUCAUCUAAUAGCUUAGUUGAACCUUGCAUGGUGAUGCUGCUCUAAUAACACAGGGAGUUAAGCGAUUUUUAAGCUAAUAAAACUCUCUGUAGAUUCAUUAUUUCCAUGUAAGAAGUCAAAAACACAUGAUACUUUGCAAGAUUGAAAGGUGUGCCUUGUGAGGCCCAUUUUCGUUCAAAUGGUGAUCCAACAUAUGGGAGGGCAUAAUUGCCCACUGAUAUGCGAAAAUGUAGACAUCCCGAGAACUUUAAUGCGAUAAAAGCGUCUUCGGCUUGGCCUAUGCCGUGAUGUUCCGUGGAUGUCUAGGCCGGUAAGUGGACUUUUCCCAUCGUGCGCCAUUGUUGAACGAGAUUGGUCAACCUGCUUCUUCAUUGUCCUCGAAAAGGUGGUCUGUAAAUGCCAGGAGGUCACACCUAGGUCCCUUCCAUGAGAUGAGUGUACCUAGCUAUUAAUUGUCUAGUAUAAUACACUUUUUUUAUUAAAUGCUUAGAUAAGGUUCUGAUUUAAAAUAAUCGAUAUAGUUGUUAGCCAUGUGUUUAAGGUCUAUCUUAUGGUUAUGUUCAACCAUUUUGUAUUAUGAAUUGAGAAUUUUAAUGGGAAAUACAUUAUGCAUUGUUUUCUAAUCUUUGGUCCAUUGAUUUUGUAGAUUGGCUCCGCUGGGAUAAUUCCAAUCAAAGUAUAGAAGGGCCAGUACUAGAUUAAGGAUAGUUUACUCGGAAAACACACACACGCACAUAUAUCGAAGAGUGCUGAUCAAGUUUAGAAUUACCACAAAAAAGAGGUGUGUCAGUACAAGGGACAAGGUCAUGAUGUUAUAAUACGCAGUAGGGAUGUGUGGUGUGGCAAGCAAAUCAAUUUCAAAAUUUAAGCGUCAAGUAAGAGGAUCGGCAUAUUAUACGAUCGAUUUCAUUGGCUGGUCACAUAACGUUAGCCGUUAGCGAUUUGACUGCUGAAUAAAAUAAUUUUCUCAAACAAGGAGGUGGCCCCUUGAAAAGUUUUCAAAUGCUAGAAUUCCCAAGCUUGUGAGAACUUUAGGAAACCUACUCCCUUUGAAGAAAUGCUAUUUAUCAUCACCUAAAGUUGCAAAGACUCUAGCAAGUACCUACAAUCAAAUUGCUAACCUCAAAAGAAAGAUACUAACUACAGAUGUAGUGAUGAUAAUGAGGACUUCACGGGACUUAUGAUUGUCGGAAAAAUACUUAGGAUGUACAAAUAUUAUCAUUUACAAAUAAAGAGGAGAAAUAUUGUAUCAAUGCAGAAUUGAAUAAUGAUGAUGCUCACAAAUUAGCAAUAACGAAAGGGAUGUUCGUGAUGCAAAGUUAUACUGCAAAGUUAAUAACCAUAUUUUGAGGAUUUUGGGCGAUUUACACUUGUUCUAGAAUAUACCGAGAAAUUUCGUUAUUUAUUACGACCAUUUGAUGAAAUUUACUUUAUUAAUUUAAGUUUACUAACGACUAACAUUAACAUAAGGGCAUAACAAAGAUUAUUUUUUGGCAAUGAGCAAAGUUUAACAUACUGCUAUAACAGGGAUAUGUAUAGAAACACAUUAGUUCCACAAACCUUUUUGCUUCAUCUAUAAACUGCAUAAAAUAAAAAAAUUGAAAUUACCCAAGUAAAGGGAAACAAUGCUCGGGGAAAUGAAGUAUGAAUACAAUUUGUUUAUAAAUAAGUACUCCAUAAGUCGUAAAACUUGUUGCAAAAGUAUAAUCAAGUUUCAAGACUUUCAAAAACUGAAAUGUAGUCUUAAAAUCUAUCCAAUCAAUACAAUUAAGUAUUUUUGUUAGCUCCACCAAAUUUGAGUAACGAAAAAUAUUGACAUGCCAUUUAUUGAUAUGAUUUGACUACAUGUGCUAAAGAUAUAUGAGCCAAACAUGAAGCCAUAUUCUACUGAAUUGAAGUAUCUUGUGUGCCAAGUCACCCUCUCUCCAUUUUCCAUACCUGACAUUAGAGAUUGAAGUGAAUGCUAUCUCUUACUUCAACAAACAACAUAAAUGUCCCGAGGUAUCAGGAAACACAACCCCCAGUUUGUUGCGCUGGCUUAAUGAUUGCUUCUUUCAGAGCUACAUGCUAGCACUAUUACACUCCCCUCUUCCCAUUUAAUCUUUUUCGCUGUGAUUGAAGUACGUGUACCAAAGUCUCAUUCUCUUCAUUUCUCUUCGCUCCAUUUCCAUUGGCUCCAUUUGGCGUGGGAGAAAUUUGUCGUAGAAUUCUUUGAGCUUCAUUUCAUAGAUUGAAGCUGGAUUCACUAAUUGCUUGUCUUUCAAAUCAUCAUCCAUUUGCUUGCAUCUUAGCACAUAUCCCAAUUUUUUUACAGUUCCACCCGAUACACUGAGUGUGAGGCUAAAUUGUAAGCAAUCCUCAUCAAACUCAAGAAAAUCAAUAGCUCCCUCCAACACUCCCCAUAGCACAUUCGGUUUGAGAUAUUGAAUCCACAUGUGAUUCGAAUUAAAUGAACCGAGAGAUCCCGAUAGCCCAUUCCGUCUUUGGCCAUUAAGAUGGGGCACGAUGUCGAAAAAUAUUUCAUUUUCUCCAUCUUCCACAGUGAAAACAACACAGAGAGCUAAUCCCAAGAACUUAUCAUAAAAGUCUUGUGAAAUCAUGAAAGAUAUGGUACUGCCUUCAACAAUGAUGAACUCCUCUGGCAUAUCUCCUCCGGGAAGAAUAUCCACGUAGUGACGAGCAAUUUCAGAAUAGCGCCACUUCUGUUAUACCGGUAAAUUGUUAGACGUACUAAAGUUGAUAAUUAGUUAAAAUAGAAGAGUUUGAUUCGAGAAUUUUUCUGGUAAUUUAACCAAAGCUAGAGUUUUCGUAAUAAUUGAACAUAUCGAUCUUUCCUUGCCUUAUAUGUAAUACUCAUGAAGUCAUUCACUUCACUUGCGAGUAUUGUCAUAGCACAUGGUGCAGAAUCACUCUACGUUAGAUUUGCUUAUUUGUAUAGAAUUUUUAGUUUCUGCGUUAUACAAACACAGUGCGCCUGACGUACACUCCAACAACAAAUCAACACAUGCACUUAUGAAUCCGCGCGUAUCCCCGGGGGCUGGAGAGAGAGAGAGAGAGAGAGAGAGAGAGAGAGAGAGAGACCUCAACUGAUAAGUCAGGCCAUGACAUGUCACCCAAGAUUUCCUCGUCUGUUUCUCUUUCACUUGGAUAGUUUGCCUCUGACCUUGAUUGGUGAUUAUCUUCAUUGAGGGACAAUUGCUAUUACAUAUAGGUGCAAAAUCACAAUAUAUGAGCUUGUUUUGUUCACUAGCAUUUGCAGUUUUGCAUUAUCAAAACACAAAGCACCCAUAUCAAUCACACACACACACCACAAUCGCGGAAGGGGGGGAAGGGAGGGAGGGAGAGACCUUUUCCAGAUCUGAGAGAUCGGCCGAAAUUUCUUCCUCUCUGGUCGUUUCUUCAUCGGGAUGCCCAAUCUCAUAUAACAAACUUGGAUCUAACAACUCGUCAUCUUGAUUCAAAGCCUCCAAAUCAUCCUCUAGUGGCUUGCAUAUUAAUCGAAAUCCGCACUUUUUUACAAUUACACCAUCCAGUGCUUUAAUGCCUAACUGGAAAGAACUUGAGUCAUUUCGACCCAAAGGGUUUACUUCCCAUAGGUCCACUGCAUGCAAUUGUAAUAACACAUGUUCUGAAUGCAAUAUGGGUAACUCCCAUGGCCCGAAGGACUUACGUUGGCAUCUGCCAUUAGUGUAAAAACUGAGCUCAAUACCCAUGUGUUUCUCUUCCUUUACUCGAAGUACAACACAUAUAGCUAAUUUUAGGAACUUCUCAUACAAAUCCUUAGAAGCUGUGAAAGAUAUAUAACCCUCCUUAUUUGGGAGUAACCAUUGCGGCAUCUCUCUUCCAGGUAGAAUAGUUUCCUGAUGCAAUCUAGCCCACCGUGAUAUGUAAUUCAAUUCGCAAGAUCGCUGUCGUAAAAGUAAAUUGUUAAGAUAUUAUUUCGAAUUUGACACUCGAAAAAGAGGAGUUUCAAUUAGUCAAAUUUAGCUACAAUUAGCUCUCCGUAUUAAUCAGAGAGAGGGGGGGGGGUGAGGGAGGGAGGGAGAGUCUAACCUCACUACGGACCGAAUCACGAAAUAAUCGGUUAACGUACAAUAUGUCGGAGGGAAUUUUGCUUAGAGACUCACAAUUCCCUGCCUGCAAAUUAAGCAAUUGCUCCGAAACCUUGCCAAUCUCUUGUAGCUGUCGGCAUUCCGAAACAUCCAAUUGAAGUAAAUUAUGUAGGUGCCCGCAUGGUGGAAUCUUAGCAAAAUUAUUUUUGGACAAAUUCAAAUUUUGCAAGGAUGAAAAACAUGAAUGAUUCUCUAGGAACUCUACUUCUUGUAGAUUGCAUCGCCCAAGGCAUAAGGACCGUAGCUUGGGAAAUCCUAUCUUGCCACGCAAAUCACUCGAAUCCUCCUCCUUUGGAAACUUGAUUAGUUUUGAACAACCAUCAAGCUGAAAGCUCUCAAGAUUUGGCAACUUGUAAAUGCUAGAUGGGAGGUUUGCCAAUUUCUUGCAAUUAAAUAAACCCAAAAUCUUUAAAGAGACAAGAUUUUCUAUGGAUGCAGGAAGUUCCUCAAUUGAAGUCUCAUGUAAAAAAAGUUGUAGCAAGCAUUUCAUUUUAUCCGGAAUAUCAGGGAAUCUUUGCAACUUUGAGCAAUCACUAAGAUCGAGCCAUUCAAGAUUCUUGGGUUGGAGUAUAUUGGGGAGAUGAUGAAGGUUAGAGCAACCUUUUAGAUCCAACCUCCUCAACUUGGUGUGAUAUGCAAUUGAUUCGUGAGCACACUCCAAAUUUUCGCACCAACUGAGAUCCAAUUCCUCGAGAUUUGGACAAAAAUCGAGGUUCGGCAUAUGAACCAUGGACAGACAUUUACUGAAGUAAAGGAACUUCAAAUUUUUUAAGUCCUGCAAGAAAUAUCCACAUGGAAAGAAAAUGAAGAUAAAAUGAAAUAAUGGGGGGAGGGGGGGUGAGGGAGGGAGGGAGAGUCUAACCUCACUACGGACCGAAUCACGAAAUAAUUGGUUAACGUACAAUAUGUCGGAGGGAAUUUUGCUUAGAGACUCACAAUUCCCUGCUUGCAAAUUAAGCAAUUGCUCCGAAACCUUGCCAAUCUCUUGUAGCGUCGGCAUUCCGAAACAUCCAAUUGAAGUAAAUUAUGUAGGUGCCCGCAUGGUGGAAUCUUAGCAAAAUUAUUUUUGGACAAAUUCAAAUUUUGCAAGGAUGAAAAACAUGAAUGAUUCUCUAGGAACUCUACUUCUUGUAGAUUGCAUCGCCCUAGGCAUAAGGACCGUAGCUUGGGAAAUCCUAUCUUGCCACGCAAAUCACUCAAAUCCUCCUCCUCCUUUGGAAACUUGAUUAGUUUUGAACAACCAUCAAGCUGAAAGCUCUCAAGAUUUGGCAACUUGUAAAUGCUAGAUGGGAGGUUUGCCAAUUUCUUGCAAUUAAAUAAACCCAAAAUCUUUAAAGAGACAAGAUUUUCUAUGGAUGCAGGAAGUUCCUCAAUUGAAGUCUCAUGUAAAAAAGGUUGUAGCAAGCAUUUCAUUUUAUCCGGAAUAUCAGGGAAUCUUUGCAACUUUAAGCAAUCACUAAGAUCGAGCCAUUCAAGAUUCUUGGGUUGGAAUAUAUCGGGGAGAUGAUGAAGGUUAGAGCAACCUUUUAGAUCCAACCUCCUCAACUUGGUGUGAUAUGCAAUUGAUUCGUGAGCACGCUCCAAAUUUUCGCACCAACUGAGAUCCAAUUCCUCGAGAUUUGGACAAAAAUCAAGGUUCGGCAUAUGAACCAUGGACAAACAUUUACUGAAGUAAAGGAACUUCAAAUUUUUAAAGUCCUGCAAGAAAUAUCCACAUGUAAAGAAAAUGAAGAUAAAAAUAUUUAAUGAAAAACACUUGAUCAUCAUUCAAGACCCAUGUGAUCGGAAAUUAGUUGAUCAUAUGAUGUAUACAGAGCACUCCCACUCCCUUUUUAAAUAUGAGUUUAUUAAGCGAUCCUUGGCCAAAAGAGAAGACUAAAAAAAGAAUAAUACUCAUAAUUUCACCACACACUAAGCUCUAUCAAGCGACACACAAGAGAAAUCAUUCCAAUUCUAAGUAGCUUGGCCACUUCUACUAUGUAUAUGUUUAGAAUCAAUAAAUGUAAUUAAGAGAGAGAGAGUGACCUCAAGUGGGAGCACAUGAGCCAUGGUCAAAUCCUUUGCCAGCUAAUUCAUGACAUGAAUUUAAGCUAACAUAGGUGGCACUUGAUGGACCUACAAUCUUAUGCAGAGAUAUGCAAACCUGCCAUAAUGGCGGUGGAAGCUUGGGAAUCUCUCGUGUCAUCACUUAUUAGGUCAUGGUGCUUGGUUGAUCGAUUUUUGAGAAUCACACAUUUUGUUGAAUGUAGUAAACCCUUGAUCCUUUAUAUGUUGCUAAACUUUAUAUUAGUGAAAUUGUGCCCCCACAAGGUAUUCCAAAUACAACUCCUUACGUUGUGUAGUGAAUGCAUCUUUUAAGUUUUGGAUCUUACACCAUUAUCCACCACUAAUAUGGAGAAAGAGCUAAGACAAUCACUAAGUUACGUGAGGAAGUGAGGAAGAGAAGUCCGAAGCAAAAUGUCAAAUAUCCCAAUCAAGCCAAAAAAAAAAAAAAAAGAAAAGCCUGCUGUUUUUAAAGAAGGUGAUCUUGUCUGGAUUCAUUUGAGAAGAGCGCUUUCCACCUAGUCGUGGUGCUACGGAUGGUUCUUUUCUAGUUUUGGAACACAUCGAUAAUAAUACCUGCAAAAGUGAGCUUUGUGGAGGGAAUGGUGUUUCCACUAGUUUCAAUGUUGCUAAUCUAUCACUAUGAAGUUGGCCUCGAGGAGGAGUCUUUUCAAGAUUUCAAGAUUCUCUCUUGUGAAUAGAAUAAUAGGGAUAAAAUAUAUUUCUUGAUCAGUGAGCCUGUUUUAUACUUUUUAGGAUUGUUUUGGUCUCGAUUACAAUGUGAUAAUAUUGUAGCUUAUUAGAAUUUUGUAUUUCGGGUCCAUUUUUCUUUACUUGGAGGUUACUCGAAGGUACGUUAGGCUCCUACUUAUCUCGGUGUCUCAUGGUAAACACAAUUAAUUUAUUAAAUGAAGUUUCAUUCUAUCUUUUCUUUGUCUUUCUCUCUGUCCUUUUAGGGGAUUCAUGAGUGAACGAGAGAGUGCUGCAUCCUUGGACUGGCCUACAAAGGUGGUGAUUUGGCCAAGGGAGACCUAGUGUAUGUUGUCUCUUUCCUAUCCUCCAUAGUGGGGUUUUUCCACUUCAUUUAGAUUGAAAAACCCCUUCUAUUUAUUUGUUCGCUCAACACAUUCCGGCGUCAAUGUGGCCGACAAGCAUGAUAGCAUAAUUGAAAGUCCACGAAGUUUGUCUCUUUUGAGGCAUAGGAAGAGAAAACUGAAAGAGUAUGCACAAGAUUUGAAAAAAAAUUGAUAUCUAAAAAAUUGAGCAGAACCACUAAAUUAGAAAUAUUUAAUGGAAAGAAAUUGUUGAUAAACACACAAUACACAAACAUAGAAUGAAUGUAGGAUAUUUCAAGAUUAAAAUUUGCAAUAAGAAAUUUGUUAUGGGAUAGAAAAGAUUAAAAUUUAGAUUAUGAAACAUGUGAGAGAUAAAAUAGAUUAAUAGUUUACGCACCUCUCAAUGAAUACAAUAUUUGUAAAAUAAGUCAUUGAGACAUUUUGGGGAAGGAAUUAAAUUGAAAUCCUGCGGAAGGUCACCUUUACUUUGUACAGUAGUAUUUAUAUGAAUAUAAAUAUAAUACAUAUAUACAUAACUUAAGAUUAGAUUUAAGUUACAUUAUAUUUAAAUUAGCAAAGCGAGCCCCUUACUUCUCUUUAGAAAGCCUUAUUAGUCAUGCGUGAAAGCCAUUACUCGCUACCAGCGUCCUAGAUGUGGUGCGCUAGUGCGUCUAUAAAGUAAGACUCUUCCAUGGAAUUGUACUCCACAAGCUUUUAUUUAAAAUAGCGGGAGAAGGAAUGGCUGGUCCAUCUAUCUCCCCUGAGAGUUGCUUUUCGUCCUGUGAUUUCUCACUUAGGAAUAAAUGGAGUAAGGGUGCAACCGAAUGGCAUGAUUGAAAGGAAAGGAGGGGAACGUGUUACAUACUUGGAAGGAGAAGGAGAACUCCCAGUUAUGUUUGAAAAUGAAUAUUUUAUCCGUAAAGAUGAAGAUAACUUUCUUGGAGUUCCGCUUAUUCCUCCUCCUAAAAAUAAAGAAGUACUUGCCAGAAAUCUCUGGUGAGGUCGGAGAACAAUAAAAAUAGACAGGACNNNNNNNNNNNNNNNNNNNNNNNNNNNNNNNNNNNNNNNNNNNNNNNNNNNNNNNNNNNNNNNNNNNNNNNNNNNNNNNNNNNNNNNNNNNNNNNNNNNNNNNNNNNNNNNNNNNNNNNNNNNNNNNNNNNNNNNNNNNNNNNNNNNNNNNNNNNNNNNNNNNNNNNNNNNNNNNNNNNNNNNNNNNNNNNNNNNNNNNNNNNNNNNNNNNNNNNNNNNNNNNNNNNNNNNNNNNNNNNNNNNNNNNNNNNNNNNNNNNNNNNNNNNNNNNNNNNNNNNNNNNNNNNNNNNNNNNNNNNNNNNNNNNNNNNNNNNNNNNNNNNNNNNNNNNNNNNNNNNNNNNNNNNNNNNNNNNNNNNNNNNNNNNNNNNNNNNNAGACGGUUAUCUCUUGUAGUAAUGAUGAUUCUACUUCCUUUACCAAACCAUUCACGCUUUCCAGCUAAAGCAUUUAACUGUUUUACGUCAAUGACAUCAUCAAGAACAAGGAGAACUCUUUUGCAGCAAAGCCUAUCUUGGAUCAAAUUGAUACCUCCAUCAACACUAAAAACUGUUAAUUCUUUUCCUAGUAAUAACUCGGACAACAAUUUUUCUUGCAAAUGAACUAAAUCCUUGGAAUCUUUUGAAGUUUCCCGAACAUUUGCCAAAAAACAUGAAGCCUCAAAUCGUCUAAAAAUAUCAUUGUAAAGGGCUUUAGCUAAUGUUGUUUUUCCUACACCUCCCUGUCCCCAUAACCCUAUCAUGAGAACAUCAUCUUCAGACUCAAGAUUUAACAUUGAUUCCAACUGUACAACAUGUGGACGUAAUCCAACCGGAUGCUUGGCAACAUAUAAGGGCGUUCGGUCUAGCUGCAUAGAGAUCUUCCGCACAAUUCUCUUUAUAGAAUCCGCUUCAUCUCUGAUAAAAUCGGGAAAGUACUUGACACAUUAAUUUCAAAGAUAAUUAACUUUCAUGGGAAAAAAAUAGAAGAUGUAUUCAGCAUAUAAAAAACAACAACAAAGCAGUGUAACAUCAAUCACUACUUGGUACUUACUUAUCGUUCAAGUCCCACCCGGAUAAGCUACCAGCAUCAUAGAGAGCUUUCUUCCAUCUCUUCACUUUCUCUGAAUCUCUUCCAAACUUGCUUUCAUGCUUAACCAGAGCUUCUUGGUAGCUCCCUCUUGGUGUUCUCACUUCUUUGGGUUCCACUUUGUAAAACACUGGAAACACUGUGAGUCCUCUUUGCUCCUUGCACUCCAUGAUUUUCUCCACCUCUUCCAAACACCACGGUGAGGAAGCAUAGUCCUUGGAGAAAACGAUGAUUGCAAUGCGUGAGUCCUCAAUCGCCUUAACAAGUGCCGGUGUUAUUUGUUCGCCUUUCUGAAGCUCCUCGCUAUCAACGUAAGUGUAGAUUCCUUUCUGGGCAAGCGCCGUAUAGAGAUGACCGAGAAAGUUGUUUCGAACGUCAGUGCCUCUGAAACUCAGGAAGACGUCAUAAUUCCCUUUCAGAUCUGAAGAAGCAGCCAUUAGAGGAGAUGAAGUUUGAUGUGCUUCCUCAGAAUGCUUAGUGUCUGGUCUGGUUGCAGCUCUAUCUCUCAUGUGGAUAUUACUUUGUACUAAUAAAGAAAUAGAAACGAAAAUCAAGAUCAUUUCUGACACUCUGAGUCGAUAAGCAUAUACUCCACCAACUAAUUUAACAGAAAGCAGCAUUUUGCAUAAGGUGCACGGAACCAUCCUAUAUAGGUGCUUCUUGACUUGACUUGCCUUCUCCAUUAAUAAAAGAAAUAGAAAAGAAAACUAGCAACACUCCCAUGCUCCUGGUGCUAAUAUACAUGAGUCAGUCGCAGAACACCGCCUGUUGGAAUAUUAUUUAUAAUGAACAAUCUGACCUUUUUCUUUCACGAGGUAUUCUACAAAAGCAAAUCCCAAAAUAAAUUUCCCUCACUUUUCAAACUAAAAUUUUCCAUACCAUAUCUUGCAUUGAACGGAACAAAUUCGAAUCUGUUCAGGCAUUUCUUCAAACACGUAAUGGGCAGCGAGUUGGAGAGCGAAUAUGGAUCUAUUCGGAGCUCGAGCUCACACUUAAACUCGAGAAAUCAGCGAGCAACGUUGAAACUUAAGAAAAACCGACUCAUUCAGAUCCGACGAGACUGAGGACUAAAGAAAUCGAGCUUCUUUUGCUCUUUUAAAAUCAAGCAGGACGAGGCAAAAAAGAAAAAAAGAAAAAGAAAAAGAAGGAACGAGAACUCAAUCGUGGGGGCCCUACCUGGCUUGGAUUUCGUGGUCAUCGUCGGCGGCGAAGGUUGAGAAUAGCGACUCCAAACUCGUGUCAGGCUUCAGUCGACUCCACCGAGGUCAGGGACGGCGACGACGAAUGGCAGCGGGCGGACGAUGAUCUGGAGGUGGCGGACGACGUAGAUCGGCUGUGGCUCUGAGGUUUUGUGUGGGGGCUUCAAUGGCAACCGUUCACGUAGUAGAGAAAGACCAAGAUGCUUUUUUUUUUCUUCCCUUUUUUCGUGAGAGUAAAGAAGUAGGUGACAGUGAAGGAAGGAGUGAGGUAGGAAUCCGGGAAUGGGAUGCGAGAGCAGUCGCCGGCGGGAGG